UCAACAAGACUUGCUGUACAUCUGAAUGCAUGCUUAAUAACAUCUUGAAUAAUAGCUCUACAUCUGGGAAAUAAUUUCUAUUCGCUUGAUUUUAAAGUAUUUUUUUGCAGGGAUACAAAAAAAAAAAAAAAAAAAAAAAAAAAAAGUGUUUUAAGACAUCAUAAAAUUUAUUUUUCAGUUAAAUUCAUUAUGUGAUAUACUUACAUCCUGUAAUUGUUGUCAAUUACACUCAAAAUGCAAUUAUGUAAUUACAUUAUUAAAACUUGAUUAUUGUUACUGAAUCACUAAUAAUUCCAUAAUGCAAUGAAUUGAAUUUAUUACAUUUUUAAAAUCGUAUCACUUAAUGACCAUUGAAGACAAUCUUUGUGGUUGAGUAAUGAUUUUUGUUCUCUUUUAAUAUAGUUCAACACAUGAUAUGGUCAUUAAUUUAUUUUACCAGAUCAUCAGGUCAUGAAAUGACAUUCUUUAAACCUGAUUUGAUCUCUCUCUCUCUCUCUCUUGUAUACCCAUUCAGCACAUCAUGUAUCAUGCAUUUAACUGGUUUAAAGGUAGGUAGACCUUCAGCUUCUGUCAAGGAACUGUGUACUUUAAAAUCAUGUGGUGAGUUUGUAAAGGAACUGCUGCAGAGAAUGUAGGCAAAAAGUCAUUGGGGAAAUGUUAAUUUGAUGGUAUAAUUUUUUUUUGAUAAGUAGUUAAUUUGAUGGUAUAAUAUAACAUCCAAAAUUCUAAUAAAAUUACCUUGGACCAAAAUAAACAACAGCAUGCUCGUGUAUUAAUUUUUUCUUAGAAAAUAAAAAUGAUUUAAGCUUUUAUUACAAUAUUUUUCUAAACAACUAAUGCUAUUUGUAUCACAGGUACAAUUAUUCUUCAUUGUUUUGAAGUGGAUUCGAUAACAGAUUUAGAUUUAUUUGGGUGUUUUCGCUGAAGCAAGGAUUACUCAUGGGGUAGUGCAUUGACAGCUACCUUGCUCUUCUUCUUGCCUUAAGUCACUGCUAAUCCUGUCCACCAAGUACCAACCCUUGCGGAAAAUUUCAGACCUAAUUAAGGAUUUCCUUUCCUUUAGUGUCUUAAUUACUAGUUCAUCAAUAUGAGGUAUGAUUCACAUAAGCAAAAUGAUUAUUGUUUCAAAGAAGAAAGUUUAAUUAGAAAUCACAUUAGAGGUGUCCUGUGUGAAUCAUAUCUCAUGUACUACAGAUCUACAGAUCUCGAGUUUAAGCCUCCCUGGUAUUUAAAUAGUGUAAGAUAGUAAGAUACGGGGGCAAGGUCAAGUCAACCGGGGUUUUGAAGAUGUCCAGACUCCAGCCCAGUAAUUGAGUUUCAAUGAGAUGUCCUGUGUGAAUCAUAUCUCAUGUAAUACAAAAGUAUGCAAGUUUCAAAAACUGAAGAGACCUAGGAAGGAUAAAAGCCUAAUUACAAAACCAAAAAAGCAGUGAGAGAACUUAAAUGGAACAACAUAGGAUCCAGAUAAAGAAGAAAGGACACUGGCUUUUGUUGAGGAAACUUAGAGAAGUCGCUUCUAACUGCAGGUUUCAGACAGGGUAAGAUCAUCAACUAAAGGCCAAUGAUGAGUUGAAGGUUAUAGCUGAAGUUAUAGAGGUUAAUAGACAAUUUGGCUGAGUGCAUGACAGUCAUGAGUCAACAAGGACCUCUACUUCAAGAAAACCACUCCCCGAUAAUAAGGAAGCAGGUGAUGGAUUGAUUACCAUAGUAGUGGAUCUUGGACCAUUUUAGCCAAUCAUCAAACUUGUGGAUGGAGUCAGCUUCGCAUCUACUUAUGGUUAGACUCCUAUUCUUUAUAUGUCUAAUUCUUACUUUUUUUUCUUCAGGGAGCAUGUAAAACUUGUCCACACUUUAUGCCAUAUCAAUACGAAAAAUGGGAGGGCGUUUGGGCCAAAGAGAAUAGAAAUAUGAAAAAUUCCAUUGCAAGGUGACUAACUAGGCCAAAACAUUAUUCUCAACACUUCUACAAAAAACAAAUAAAUAAAUAUAUAAAAUAAGAAUAAAAACCCAAGUGAAUGUCAACCAGAGAUUAAGCAAAUGCGGGAACUACUCAAAUAUUACCUGGUUGAAGAAUGGAAAAGAUUCCAUGUUCUGAGCCCUUAGAGUAUCCACAUUGAUUGCUUGGUAGUUUGCAAUUGACCUUAAGAAUUUGGGUCUCUGUCACAAUGUUAUCUGUGGGUAAUUAGAAGUUAUUUAAGAAAGGAAAAAGCAAAAUAGUCCAGUAAAACAUUAUUUUUUGAAUCAUUUAUUCAUGCAUUGUUGUAAUCAAUAGAAAUAGAUCCUAGAACCUGUGGAGUGUGUUCUGCAAUUCAUUGCUUUUAAGUUAACUUUUCUAAUCAAGAUUCUAAGUUAGCAAAUAUCUUAAAAGAUGUCAAAUGUCUGAGAACGAAUAUGAAAUACCCAUGUAAGUAUAACUAAAGAAUAGGACCAUACUGUACCUGGGUUUGUAAAAUCGAUUGUGAAGUCGUGUAUAUAAGCUCCCAUUUUCCAUUCAAUAAAUCAGAUUUCAGUGGCUCCUUUAUUGAAUUGACUGCUUCAAGCUCACUGGCAAUCUAAUUGAUAAAAAAAUUCAAGGAAAGGAAAAAAAUAACAGUGUUAAUUAACAAUAAUAACUAUAUUUAUCCAUCUGGUUUUAAAUUAGCAUGACAUAAUACAAUCAGUUCUGCAAUGUCCAAGAAAAGCAAUGCCAGGUGUGGGCUGUAGUAACAAUCUGAACCUAUUCAAAAUGGGAUUUCCUAGACUUCAACAUUCUAACAGCAAAGGCUUUAAACAUUGUUACUUCGAGUAGGAGAUGUAUCACACUCUCACCAUGGGAUAUAGAAAGAGAAGGGGAACACAGGGAGGAAAACAUGGAAAGUUUCUCUGAGAAUCAAGGAUAUCAUUAAUAAAUAGCCCAAAAAGGUCAAUUGCCCUGUCCUUCAUCUGUCUAGAAUCAAAAUUGUUCUCAGGACUCCCUUUUAGGUAAUACCCAUACUUCUUAAUUUUAUAUUAUAUUUUAAAUGGGAAUAAUUAGAUCAUAAAGCCACCUGACAAAUUCAUCUGGCUAGGGGAAUGAAACUUCAAAAACUGGCAGACUGGAAAGUGUAAUUUCCCUAUGUCUCAAACACAAGAGUUUUGGGUCAAUCUUCAAUAUUAGUGAAGAAUGAAUAUUAUCUUCUCCUACGAAAUAGCCCUUUUGAAAGGUGAAACAAGUAAAUUUGGGCCUCCUUAUGUUGCUUCAAUUUCUCUCCUUGGACAUCAAAGCAAGAGCAUUGCUUUUAGCCCUUAAAAUCAACAAACAGUUUAAAGUGCAAAUACCAAAAUCAAAUAUAAGAAUUUUCUUGCCUCUGAACUUCACACCCAAAAUCAACAGAAUUACUUGCAAAACAUUAACCAAACACUAAAUAAAAGAGUAAAAAAAGAAAAGAAAAGAGAAGAAAUCCCAACCUGAUCAACCCUUUGUUGAUCCUCAAGAGUGGCAUCAGCACCUCUAUCAAGUGGGGCAAUGGCAUCAAGAAGCUCUUCCUUGAGAGCUUUAGCAUCUUUUCCUUUUUUCAAAAAAGCAGGAAAAAAAGAGACCCCAACUCUCCAUUUCUUGGAAGGUGAAGGAUUUGAGAGGACUGCUGCAUCAUUGUAGGUGAUGUGGUUGGUGGGCUUGGUGAGUGGAGAAUACUGACAAUUGAGGAGUGUGAGGGAUGAGGGCUUGGAGGGUUGAAUGGGAGUGAGAAGUGAAGAUGGAGAAUGCAGAGAUAAGGCCAUAGAGCUUGUGGGUCUAAGUGGGUGUAGCCUUUGGUUUGGUCACUGCAAUAAGCCACCUCCUCAUCUUCCAGUUUCAUGUCUUUUUUAGCUUCAUUUCACAUUUUAUUAAAAAUCAAAAAAUAAAAAUAGAAAUAGUUUGGGUGGACAGGAUUAAUUAGAGCAUUUGUUUCUUAUCAUCUUACUAUCAAAGGAUUUCAAAACUCAAUGUGAUUAAAAUAAAUUAAUUCCCAAAUUAAAUUAGUAUUUCUAGAUUCACUUUUAUUAUUAAUUUUUUUUGAAAUAAUUCACAAUUUUAACUUUAUUUCUUGGUCUUAAAUUAAAAUUAUACUAUGAUAUUUUUUUUAUUAUUAAGAAUUGGUCAAAUCCCACUCAUUUAUUUAUUUAUUUUUUGAAUAUAUAUGUCUCAUUCUUUCAUACCAUAUUCUUAUUUAAUCAUAUUUAAAAUUUAUUUUUCUAAUUAAAAUAUUUCGAGAACAUUCUUUUUGGAAUACACCAAAUAAAAUAAUUAUUUCUUAUUUGUCCUUUUUGACAUACAUCAGUCUAUUUAAUUUUCUACUUAAAUUUUUUUUAUUAAUAGUGUUUGGAAAGUUAGAAAAGUCUAGAGUGCCUGAUUGGAGGAGCAAAUCUACAGAGGAAAAGCACAUGUCUCAUGUGCGCAUAAACCAGUGAAUAGCCCUGUUCCGCACGCCUCCUUGCUUCUCAACUCUUCCUUUCUCUCCAUACAUCACUCAUGAAUCGAGGCCAAGAUUUAAUUUGAGAAGCAAGAGGAAAAAAAAUUGUAAAAGACUCAGAAAAAAAGAUGCAUUCAAAAUUCUCAAUCACCCAUCUAAACCCAUCAAAAACCGGGCUGUUUCCUCUCUUCCCUCAUCGGGAUUUCUGCAAGGUGGGAUUCUCUGCAAGACCCAAACUCCGGUUCAAGCUCGUUGUCCAGUCUAUGGGUGAUAGGUGGAGAUUAAGCGACAUUGAUACCCGUGAGUCCUGUUUUUUUUUUUUCCAUAUGAAUUAUAAACUUCUUUUCUUUUGUGUUUCUAUUUCAAUUUUCAUUCUUGUAUCUAUAAAGGCCGAGUAUUGGGUUGGAUUCAACUUCUGGGUCAUUCUGAUUUUCAGUAAUUAGUGUAAAGUCCAUAUGCAGAAAUGAAUUGAAUGUAUUUUUAUCAUAAAAACAGUAGUCCAGAGCAUAUAAGGGUUUAACCCAACUAAAGAGCUUAGCUGAUCAAUAAACUUCAAUAUAAUUCAGAAUUGUAGGCAUUAUAUGAUUAUCCUGGGGGGUUUUCGAACCUCUGUGAUUCAAUAUGCUAAUCUGUGACAUUAGGCUCCAUGUAACAUACACUCAUUAUUGGACGUCAAGGACCACGGUAAGAGAGUUUCUCUAGAGGCCAGAGGGCCAAUAGACCCAGGUGAGGUACCAAUAGAAAAGACCCGAUAUUUGCUGUCCCCAAGAUGAUUCUCUUUUCCUUUUUCUGUGGGUGGAUAUAUUGUAGUUGGCAGGUAGGCUUAUUUGAUGAUUGUUGUGGAGUUAAACGUUGAGAGUUGAGAGGCUGCUAAGAGUUUCUGUAUUUCUUCUUAUUGUUAAUAGUGGAUUUGAUUUUCCUCCCUUCCAAAGUCCAUAUGCAAUCUAGCCAAACCUCGUAGAUUUGGUUUUUCUUGUGUGUGCUUGCAAUUACAAUUUAUUUUAUUAGAAUCAGGAUUUCAUAUUGAACAUAUUAAAUCAUAAACAUAUUUGUGAAUGCUAAUGGUUUGUCUUCCUGGUAGUUGCUGCAUUAAGAACCUAUAGUUUUGUAAAACUUUAGCUGUCUAUCCGGGUUAGAUGUAAAGUUGUAUUCUAGAAGAUGGAGAUUGAGAUUGAAGUUUAAGGAUUAGUUUGUCUUGUAACUUAGUAUGAGUCCUAAGAUGCUAGAGAUUUCAUGGGAGAUGGUAUGCGGUUACUGCAUUAAUGUUGCUUCUAGUUUUGGAUUUUCAAAUCCUUAUGUUCUCAACAGAUGCUGUGCAAGAACAAUUGAAUAUGUGGCUUGUGAAGACUCAAAGCUUUUUGAAUGAAGUGACUUCUCCAUUGGUAAGAACUGGUCAUGGUAGAAAGCCUGACUCUGCAAAUGUGUCUGACACUCAAGAUAUGGAUGAUGUAUUUGUGCCAGAACAAACUAUUCAGAGCAGCACACCCAGUGGCGACCUUUCAUUGGCUGCUAUUGUUUCUAUUGAGCAAUUCAGCAGGUGACAAUACUUGGCAGUUUUAUUUAUUUGUGUUUUUUAAGUUUCUUAGAUUAGUAUCUAUUGAUAAAUGAUGCUAUUUUGUGCUUACUUUUUUGCUUGUGACAGCAUACUAUCUCAACCUAUCAGACUAAUUAAGGGAUUGUCAUUUGACUUUUUGAAAUUAAGAUGUGCAGGAUGAACGGAUUGACUGGGGAAAAAAUGCAGAAAAUAUUUAGAGCACUUGUUCCUGAAACUGUCUAUAACGAUGCCCGUAAUUUGGUGGAAUAUUGCUGCUUUAGGUUCUUGUCAAGAGAUAGUUCUGAUAUUCAUCCUUGCCUCAAGGUUUGUAGAUUAAGUAUAAGCAUAUUGCAUUCAUUUCUUUCUUUCAUCUGGUUUUCCUUUCUAUUUUCUCUGGUCUUCCAAGAGUUUGCAGCUUCACUUUCCUUACUCAUGUUUUCUUCUAAUUAUGGUUAAAGUAGGUGUAGUUUUAUUUUUUAUUUUUUCCCUUCUUUUAGUUAAGGUAUUAUAGUAAAGACAUGACAUUAUCUGUUGUAGCUUGUGUCAUCUGAUUUUAUAAAGAUACUAUGUGGACUAUCUAUUUAUCUUAAGCAUAAGUUCUGAUGAUUUAGAUAUGUAUUUAUAUACUAUGUGUAUAUGAUUAUAUUUUACAGUUAUUUCUGUUUGUAUACAAGUGCUUUGAAAACUAUAACCUUAGGGACUUACAUAUUUAUCUCUAGCUUAUUUUUUUUCAUUGAUUUAUCAUAAUCUUUUGUGAGACCUGUAGGACUUACUAAAUUAUCUGAUUGGCCAGUUGGGUUUUUUUUUUUUUUUGGGAUAAAUUUGGUGCUUACAGGAACCUGCAUUCCAGAGACUGAUUUUCAUUACAAUGCUCGCAUGGGAGAAUCCUUACUAUGAAGCAAAUGAUUCAAAUGCUAUUGGUUUAGAGAAAGCUUCCUUUAAGGUUAAUUCCAUUUUUUUUUCUUUUCUUUCCUCUUCCUGAUAUUCCACCCUCUAAAGCAACUUGUAACUUCUAGUGUCUAGAGAUUGGAUUGUUGGAUCACUGGUUUUGUGCUUCUUUAGUUCCCAACUCCUAAAAAUUCAUGAACAGGUUUCCGAGAUCAUCAUUUUAUUCUCCAGAAACUAUUUCUUUUAACUGUGUUUGGUACACAUGCUGUGUAUGUUAUCGUUGUCUUUAUUUCAAAAUCCUUGAUGAUAGUUUUUGCAUCUGUUUUACAUUUGUGCUUACCAUAUGUUGAUUGCUGCAAAGAGUAAGUUUGAAAAUUUUGAGCUAAAAGGCUUGGUUGAGCAAGGCAUUUGAAAAGAAUGAUCUAUGAAUUGCAAAUAACAUCUUUGGAAUAAAGAUUCAAUGAGCUUGAGGGGAUGGAAAAUUGUUGGUGCAGCAAAACAAGUUUGUUGAAAAGUUUUGCAAAGGUUUUGUGAAGUCUAAUUCUAUUGCUUGGGUGUACUGGUUGGAAACAUUUAUCUUUCAACAUUCUAUAAUAAUAUUUCUGAAGUUAUGAAUUAAAAUAGAUUAUUUGCUUGUUGGCCUUAAAGAGGAAGCUUGUAGGAGAAGAGGCUUUUGUUCGUAUUGCUCCUGCUGUUUCUGGUGUUGCCGAUCGGCCAACUGCACAUAAUCUAUUCAAGGCUCUUGCUGGUGAUGAACGGGGCAUAUCUUUAAGUUUGUGGUGUACAUAUGUUAAUGAACUUCUCAAGUGAGUGUCAUGAUUCCCUUUAUAAUCCUGUAUAUUGUUAUGACCUCUUGUUAUUCUCAUAUAAGGUAAUUAAUUACCUUAUUGCAAUAUGCUGCAUUUAUGAUCAUCAUCUGAAGAAACCUUUACAAUUUGUGAAGUUUCAAAUUCUCUUAAGAUCUAUGAACCGUUAAUGUUGAAUUUGUUCAUUUCUAAUCAUAAUAAAAUCAUUAAAGAAGCUUGUUCACAUUAGAUUUCAAGUGAGGCUCUACAAUUUAUUAUUUAUUUACUUAUUAAUUUAAUUGUUAUUAUUAUUAUUGUGUGUGUGUGUGUGUUGAGAAAUGAGGAAAACUGGUCUCUAUCUUUUCACUUUAUUUGUUGAUCUUACCAGGGUCUAACCCAUAAGGCAACCUUACGAGUUCCGACACUGGAUCAUUGGUGGACAGUUUUACAGCUUAACAGUGAUGGAAGAUUUUUUCUGGACUUGGAUCAUAUAGUUUCAUAGUUAUUUCAGUGUAACUGCCACCAGGACACAUGGACAAAAGUAAUCUUAAUCUCCUACAGCAUUGAUGGGGGAGUUUUUGGGUUGUAUUUGAUGUAUAUUUUUCUUUCAAAACUGGUUAUAGGAUGAGAAUUUAUAAUAUAAAUAAUAUUUAGGAGCACAAUUCCCAUAAAAUAAUAUUUAGGAGUGCAAUCCCCAUAAUUUAUAGGAACCUUUUAAUAAUAUUAGAAUUUACAAACUUGCUCUUGAGGCCUGGUUCAAGUGUUAAAGGGAUGGGGAGGGUUUGUGGGAGGUUCCUGGUUCAAAGUCCAAUGGGGCAAAAAUUUACCUAUCAAAAAAAAAAAAAUUAAAAAAAUUUACAAACAAUUCCACUUAUUGGGAGUGUGUUAGUUGCACAGGCAUGUUCUUUAAUUUUUGAGAGUUAACAAACAAAAUGUCCAUAAAAUGAUAGAAUAAUUGACAUGAAAAUGUUGGGACAAUUUGGGAAAUCAAGAAAGAGUAAACUGAGGAAUUAUUGUACUUGUGAGAAGUAAGAGGUAGGACUGCUUGAGGACAAAUGAGAGGUUGGCUAGACUUGUUUAUUUAUGUGCAAUGAAGAAAAAUGACAAGACACUGGUAAAGAGUGUUUUUGUUCAAAUAAAAUCUGCUGUAAGGAUGAGAGUACGUCCAGAAAAAAACUGUAGGUUGAGGUUGUGAGAAAAGAGCAUAAUGGUUUAUGACUUAAUUGAAGAUAUGACCCUAGGUUAAGUGAAUUGCAAAUAGGAUUCGUGAAGUCAACAUCAAGUAAUUGGGAAUCUGGGACGAGGCUCUGUUAAUUUAUAUCUUAUAGUAUUAAUUUCUUUAAUAUUAGGGGCAAUAUUGAUAUUAAUUCUGAAGUAAAGCAAUAAGUAGGAUAUGUCUAUAAUGAGGCAUGCAAUUGAAGACUUGCCAUGGGCUGUGCAAAUGUUUCAGUAAUAUAUUUCAAAAUUAUUAUUGCACUAGUUUUUUCAACUGGCUGUUUUCAAUCAAUAUUUUAAGAAAUCUUUUGAAUUAGAGUCACAUGGUGGUGCUAUUUUUCUCUUAGUUGAUAUUUUCCAAGCUUAAACGAUUAUAAUCUGUCAUGUUAUGGUUAUGUCUUGUUGCAUGCAACCCAUUUCCGUGGUUUGUCAGUUACAUAUGUAGGUUAAUCUUUCAGAGUUUAUUCUUAUCUUCUACCGGUGUUUCUCUCUCUCUCUCUCUCUCCCUCUCCCUCUCCCUCUCUCCUUUUGUUUUUGGAUGUAGAGUGCACGAAGGACGCAAAUCAUAUGAGAUUCAAGAAUCCCCCCAGCUUUCCAGGGAGCGGAUCAUAUGUAUUGGUUCUAGCAGGAAGCGCCCGGUCAUAAAGUGGGAGAACAAUGUUGCAUGGCCAGGAAAACUUAUUUUGACCAAUAAAGCACUCUAUUUUGAGGUAUUUAUUCAUUCUAACUUGUGAAGUGAAUUAAUGUAAAGUUACCUCAUCAAAGGCAUUCAAUGGAGUGUUGUGUAUUUUUAAAUCAUAUGAAGUUCAUGGAGUUAUUGAUGAACAUGAGUAGUAUGAUGCUUUUAAUGAUUUUUGGGUUGUUACAUAUAUUUAGACAUGGGCACAUAUUCAUAUGAUAAAAUUUUUUCUUGGGAACUAUGUAACUAAACAUUUUGUUUAAUAUUAUAUAUAAUAGCAUAGCUUAGAAAAUUCAAAGGUGUCUGAAACAAAAUCAGAAACUUGUUGGAUAACUAUAAUUACUGGCGCACUUUAGAAGAUUUUUUGAUAAGUAAAAGAGAAGAAAUUGUAUUGAAAAGAGACGCUAAAAUAACAACUCAAAAAGAUACAACAAAGGAACACCCCCCUCCCCAGCUAGAACAAAAAAAAACCUUGGAAAGCAGAGGGGCCCAAAAAAAACCACCCUCAACAAGAACCAACCCAAUCAAGGAAACCUACUAAAGACGGAAGACCAUAUUUUAUGAACAAUUUCAUCUCCAACCAAAGAAAAUAAAUAAAAGAACUCUUAAGUCUUUGAAUGGACAACACAUCAUCUUCAAAUACAAUUUUGUUUUUUGCAUUCCAAACUGUCUAAAAAAAUACAUAAAGGGCCUGCUCUCCAAACUUUCUUUCUCUUUUUUUCCACAAAAGACCCGUUCCAACCCAAGAGUGUCAUUUUAACAGAGGAUGGCAGCACCCACUGCACCUUGAAGAGAGUGAAAAAUAACCCCCAAAGAGUCCUUGUCUUGGCACAGUGAAAGAGGAUAUGAUCUAUCGAUUCCUCAUGCAUUUGGCAAAGGUAGCAUCUAUUUGCUAAAGGCCAUCAUCUUUUCUGAAGUUGGUCCAAAGUAAGGGCCUUCCCCCAAGUUGCUUCCCACGUAAAAAAACUCACUUUGGGCUACACACAUGAAUUCCAAAUGACAUUUGAUGGGAAAGAGGCUAAUGGUCCAGAUUUUAGGGCUUUGUAGAGAGAUUUAACUGAGAACUUUCCACAUUUAGUCUCUAUCCAAAGCACCCUAUCUUCCACAUCUUGCCGAACACUCUUCCCAUUAAGACCCAAUAAAAAACUGUGCACCUCAUCCAUCUCCCAAUCAUUGAAAGGUCUAGAGAAAUGCAGGCUCCAGCUCCCCCCUCCCUCGGUGAAACUCCACACAUCUUUUACCCAGGCGCCCUUGAACGUAGCUAAAGCAAACAAAGUAGGAAAAGCGACACAAAAAGGUGAAUCUCCAUACCAUCUAUCCUUCCAAAAUCUCAUCCUCUGACCACUGCCCACCAUAAAGGAGAUUCUAUUGCUUAAAACAUGCCACUCCUUCCUAAUUGCUUUCCACAACCCCACGCCAUAUCCACCCCUCAUUUCCUUGGAGCACCAACCGCCUUGCUCCUCCCCAUACUUUCCCCUAAUCACUUGAUUCCACAAGGCCCCUCUUUUAUUUGCAAACCUCCAACUCCUUUUGCACAAAAGCGCCUUAUUAAGAGAAGAAAGACACUUCACCCCCAAACCCCCUUUUCUUUUAUCUAAGCAAACAAGUGUCCAUCUUACAAGAUGAGGUUUCCGCUCAAGAGCCCCACCACCCCGCAAAAAAUCUCUUUGAAUUUGCUCCAACCUCAAUCUGACCGUCCUAGGCAAAGUAAGCACAAACAUAAAAUAAAUGGGCAAGUUAGCCAAAGUACUUCGGAUCAAAGUGAGCCUCCCUUCCUUGGAGAUAUAUUUUCUCUUCCACAUUGCCAAUCUCUUUCAAAACCUCCCCUCCACUCCAUCCCAGGCAGCCACAAACUUAAAAAGAGCCCCCAAAGGUAGUCCCAAAUAAGAGGAGGGGAGACUUCUGACCUUACAACCAAGUUCUGCAACCAAAACCUUCACAUUUUCCACACAUCCCACUGGGAUUAACUUGCUUUUAUCCAAAUUAAUUAUCAGCCCUGAAAUGGCCUCAAACCACAUUAGAGUCCAACUUAAAUACUUUAUCUGAUCCUGAGUAGCCGCACUGAAAACCAAAGUGUCAUCGACAAACAAUAAGUGGGAUACAUGAGCCCCUUCACCACCUCUACCCCUCACCUUACAGGCUAACAGAAAACCCCCACUUACAGCUCUCUUUAGAAGGCAACUAAGUGCCUCCAUAGCAAUCACAAUCAGGUAUGGUGAGAGUGGGUCCCCUUGCCUUAAACCUCUAAAACUUUGGAAGAAUACUAAGGAAGUCCCAUUAACCAAAAUGAAAAAACUAGUUGUAGAGAUGCACCACUACAUCCAUUGGAGCCAUUUCUCCCCAAAACCCAUCAUACUCAUAACUGACAGCAAGAAGGACCAGUCCACAUGAUCAUACGCCUUCUCCAUAUCAAGCUUGCACAACACCACCCCCUCAUUACUCUUCAAAAUUGAAUCUAUGACUCCAUUAGCAACAAGGGCAGCAUCCAGGAUUUGUCUACCCUUCACAAAGGCAUUUUGGGCCUUGGAUACCACCUUACCCACUAACAGCUUUAAUCUAUUGGCUAGCACUUUAGCUAGCCACUUGUACAGCCUACCCACCAAACUAAUUGGCCUGAAAUCCCUUAAAUCUUCCGUACCCCCUUUUUUUGGGAUCAAGACUAUGAAUGUUGCGUUCAGACUUUUGACAAAACAAUUGUGAUCAUGAAACUCCCUGAAAAACCCCAUAACCUCCUCCUUCACAAACCCCCAUGAGGAUUGCCAGAAAGCCAUUGAAAAACCAUCAGGCUUGGGUGCUUUAUUCCCACUAAAGCCCUUAAGAGCCUUGAAAACCUCCUGCUUAGAAAAAGGCUCCUCUAGCCUUGCCCUAUCAACCGCCUCCAACCUUGCAAAAGACAGACCACUAAUACUGGGCCUCCACCCUCCUACAGUAGACAAUAGAAGCUUAAACUCAUUCACCACCCCUUCUCUGAUCUCAUUUUCCUUUGUUGACCACACACCAUUGAUUUUAACCCGUGCCAUCGAACUCCUCAUGUGCGCAUUAGCCAUCUUGUGGAAAAAUCUAGUGUUUCUGCCCCCCUCUUUGAGCCACAACUCCCUUGAUUUAUGCCACCAAGAAAUUUCUUCUAGGAGGACCCACUUUUUAAAAUCUUCAUUUGCACCUCUCCUAGCUUCCAACUCAUGAACAACAAGUGGCCGAGCAACCUCUACUUUGUCCCAAAAUUCCACCUGAUUCAAAGCCAAAGCCUUAUUAACUUCAACUUUACCAAAGAAGACAUUCUUGUUCCAUUCUCUCAGUAAUGGCUUCAAGGCUUUCAACUUCGCCCCCAAACAAAACUAGUAGUUCCAUUAAAAUUGAGACUCUCCCAUCAAGCUUGCAACUUAUCCUUGAAACCCUCCUCCUUCAACCACAUGUUCUUGAAUCUAAAAGGCAUUGGGCCUAUCCUCACCCCCACUCCCCCCUCCCUCCCAAUCUAGCAAAAUUGGAGAAUGAUGCGAAAUCGGUUUAAGGAGGACACACUGAACAACCCCUGUAAAGUGACCUUUCUAGUCCUCCAAAACCAAAAACCGAUCGAGCCUAGAAUUACAUUGAUUGUUUAGGCCCCCCGUUAAGUGUAAGGACCUCCCUGCAGAGGUAGGUCCCUUAGCUCUAAAUCCUCGAUAAUCUCACAGAAUCUCCUCAUUGUAAAGUUAAGUUUGCCUCCCCUACUACACUCCAUAAGAAACCUAAUCACAUUAAAUUCGCCUGCCACACACCAAGGACCUCCUCACAACCCUCUGACAACACCUAGCUCACCCCAAAAAGCUUCCUCUCCUUUUUUAGGGUGGGGCCAUAGACCCCUGUGAAAUUCCAGCAAAAGUCAUCCUCACAGUUCUUGAACCGACAGGAGAUUGAAAACAUUCCCACUUCCACUUCCAGUGAAUGUAACGCCCUAUUGUCCCAAAACGCCAACACACCACUAGAGGCCCCCCUUGAAUCAACGACCCCCUAUUCUAAACAUCUACCCACACCAAGGCUCCGGACUAUCCUUAUCGACAUCUCCUGCAUCUUAGUCUCCUGCAAGCAUACUAAAUCCACCUUGUGAGACUUAAUUAAUGCCUUGAUCACUUUUCUCUUCCCAUUGUCAUUCACCCCUCUUACAUUCNNNNNNNNNNNNNNNNNNNNNNNNNNNNNNNNNNNNNNNNNNNNNNNNNNNNNNNNNNNNNNNNNNNNNNNNUUGCUCCCCCUCCCCCCCUCAAAAAAAUGGAUGCUGCUCCCCUCUCACUCCCAUCUGCCCAUAUUACCCUCAACGGAUCAACAACCGCCUCUCCACCCUCAAUGGCCGUCCCAUCGAGAUCCCUAAGGCCCCGAUCAACAACCACCAUCGCUUUGUCCCCCUUAGAGAAAGAAGAAGAAGAAGGAGAACCCCAACCCCCAAAGCUAAGAGAAGAGCGAGGCUCAGAAGAAGAGUACUUGGCGACUUCCUUUAGCAGUGACUCAUCUGCUACAAACAUCCCCUACGCCUGAGCAGUUGACCCAGCUCUGCGACUCUCCUCGUUGAGACUCCAUUCCAAACCAGAGACCUUAACUUCAGGAGCCCUAAGCCCCUUUAAAGUUCCAGCAUUAGUCGCCUGGGUCGGACCCUUUUUACUUAAGUUUGGAGAACUGUGCUGACCCUCCUCCAUAGACCCAACAGCCCCCAAGGCCAUCAGAUUUUGGUCCACCCUAAGGCCCUUAAGUGUCGUAAGCCCACCCUUCUUUAAGCCCAUUGAGAUAGGCUCCUGGGCUCCAAAAGUCAGGCCACCCCUCUCCUUGUCAAACCCUACCCAAUAAACCUUGGGCCCACUCCUUCCCUUACUUAACCCCUCUCCAUCAUCUGGAAAAGGAUGCCUUUCCUCAACGAGUGCCUUCCCUCUCUCAUCUUUUCCUGCAAUUGCCACUGUAAUCCCAACCAUACCCACAACGUGCAAGUUAGAGUCAACACCUUUCUCCCUUACUCUGACUUUACCACUGAAACACACUGCUCCAUCCUUUGCAGCUUGUGUUUGCGCCUGUGCAGCCCCACACUUUUCCAUGUGCGUGAAUCCACUUGCCCUUCAUCUCUAACCUUCGGUCAUUCCUUUUCGUGCAUCGGCACCAUCGUUGUCACCCAUGGUGGCACUUCCCACCACAAUUGGAUUGCAAAACAAGAGGCACCCACCACCAGUUGCAACGUUCUAGGGAGGUCUUUCCCCUCAGACCUCACUAAGAGCCUAGCCCACUACAGCUGCACGAAGUUAGUUGUGUCGUCGUCCACAACAACAAACCCUCCACAACUAUCCCCCAACUCCCUAAACACCUCCCGAUUCCAAAAGUGUAAUGACAAGCCCAGUGCCCUCACCUAAUAUUGAUUAGCUUGAACCCCGCCCCUAAAACAUCUUGCCUCUAGUCCCCACUUCUCCAGAGAAAACACCUUGUCCUCAAAGUGCUGAACCCUCCCUCUUAACACCCUUUCCGCUUCCUUUGCAUCCACAAAUUCUGCCAAAAAAAGCCCACUGCCCAAAUGCGAAAAGCUCACUCCCCUUUUUAAAUUCCACAAGCGCACCCCCCAUCUCCUUAGCAUAGCCAAAUCCAGAACCAAAGCUACCUCUUCUCCCCACCUUCCCACUAGAUUGCACCCCAGUUGCUCCUCCUUACUUCUCAAGUUACUACCCCUAAGUUGGAGCCACACUGAGUCUCCUAAUCUUCCAGCCUUCGCCUUUGCCACCUCAACAAAGGUCUUUCUCUCGUCCUCUACCUUAGCCUGUUCUUCACCAUUCUCGUUAGCUCUAACUCCACCAAGGCCAUUACCCCGCUUAGCUUCAUCAGGGGUAACAACACCAAUUGAACGCUGUUUUUCCGCUAGCUUAACCCAACCCCUUAGGAUCCCCCUUCCCUCUGGAAAGACUAAACAUAACCUUUUUGCUUCCACAUCACGAACAGAGCAGAUAAUGAACCUUCUCGCCUCGCUUGAGCGUCUCUCCAAUCUAAAACUCCUUCCUUCCUCUACUUGACUUUUUGCACCUAUUCUAAACCUUUCCUCCUUACAACAUGCUUCCACCCCCUCCAGCAAGCAUCUUAAACUGAACUCGCCGAACCUAAUCCAUGAGGAGAAUCCUCUACUUUUCUCCAAGAUAAUACCACGUAACUUCCCACCAAUCUCCUCAACUGAAAUCUCGAAAGACUUCGACUCCAUAGCAAACCAACACCUACCACCCUCCCUCAUGACUCAAUAUAGUCCAAGGUGCACUUUAGAAGAUCCUUCCAAGAUUGGGAAUUGGAGGAGAUGACUCGUUUUUUGGAACAUAUUUCUGCGGUAAAGGUUCAAGAAAGGGAUGAUUCCUUAGUUUGGAAGAAUGAUGGGAGGGGAAAGUGUAAUGUCAAAUUGUAUUAUAGGUCUUUAAGGGUCGAGAAUAGCUUUUUAUUUCCAACCAAAGAGAUUUGGAAUUCGUAUGCCCCUCUUAGAACUUGUUUUUUUUGCUUGGGAAGCAGUUUGGGGAAAAUUUUUAAUGGUAGACAUGUUAAGAAAGAACGACUAGUCCAUGGUCAAUAGGUGCAAUCUUUGUAAAGAUAGUGAGGAAUUGAUGGACCAUGUUUUGAUUCAUUGUGGUAAGACAAGGGAGUUAUGAACUCUGCUGCUAUCAUCUUUUGGACUGGUGUGGGUGUACCCGGGUUCAGUGAGAAAUCUUUUUCUGGAAUGGAAAGUUAAGGGACUAGGGAAGAAGAGGAAAGUAGUUUGGAGAUUGACACCUAUUUGUCUUUUUUGGUGUAUUUGGGGAGAGCGAAACCGAAGAACGUUCCAAGAUGAAGAGUUGUCAAACCAAAGCUUGGGGAACCUCUUUUUGUAUACUGCCUGUGUACGUUGGGUGUGCCCCCUCUUUUGGCGUCUUCUUAAUUCAAUUUGCCUUUGUCUAUAAAAAAAAAUAAAAUAAUUACUGGUGUGAACAAGCUUAACUUUAGUUACCCUACAAGAGCCUCACUUGUUUUGUGAAACUAUUAGAUAUCCUAGAAGUUUUUGUUAUUAGGGAAUUAAAUGAAAAUGUAUAUCAAGCUACUUCAUUGUGUCUGGUCUAAGCUACACAUGGAGGGACAAGAUAGAUAGGUUCCAACUCUAGAACUAUUGGAAUAAAGAGUUUGAUAUCAUAUGAAAUGCUUGCAACUUGGCUUUGUAAGGUUGGUCAAAUUCUGAAGCACAAGGAUUAUUUAAGAUUUGUAGGAUCUGGACUUAGUUAGGAAUCACACCUUGGGGAUUGUUAUGAUCUAGUGAAAUCUAAGAAUGGAGAAGGUAGAGUGAUGUGUAGUUUAAGGUCAGCAAAGCAAAUUCUAUUUUCAAUUUGGUUAGAGAAGGUGGGGUAUAUCAAACUAACAAUAAAGAAAAAUGAAGAUUAAGAAACUCCAAUCAACAAAAAAAAGUCAAGACUUAGGAUCCAUUGGUAUUCACCAUGUAAUUCACUUCUGAGUAGCUUCUUCAGCUACACAGCCCCUAAUGGUUGUGUUUUCCAUAGUUUUCUGGAUUUUGGACCUUCCGUUUUUACAAGUGUCUAAACCUCUCAGGUCAAGGUGAGGGGAAAUCCUAUCACCUUCCCAUAGUUAGGCGAUAGCCUUGUUUUUUGCCUUUUGCCUUAGGCUAAAAGGAUUCUUAUUGUCUCAACAUCACCUUUUGCUUUAGACAACACUAGAUGAAAUAGAAAUUGAAAUUGAAAUUGAAUUGAAGAAGACCAAGUAAGGUAAAGGAAAAGCUGCAGAGAACAAGAAAACCAUACUGCUUAUGUUAUCAGGAGCAACAUAGAAUUCAUGGAAUUUGUCUAGAUUUAUAGAAGCUGUCCAGAUUCAUAGAAUCUGGUUUAGUCAAUGUUUUGUAUAUAUUUGCUAGAGAGUAGAUCAUGAAGUCAUUAUAGGAUUGAAUAGUUGUAUAUUAGACUUUUUCUUUCCUCUAAUAGCUGUACAGAUUAUGUAUUUAUAGCCUGUCAAACUUUUCUGAUCUAAAUAAGUGAGGAAUCAGUUUCUUCUGUCUUCCUUUCUUCCACUCAUAUAGUCUCACCAUAUCAGAGCUUGGAAGAAUAUUCUAAUCCUUUCCUAGCAAUUUUUUUUACCUUCAUUGCCACUGUUCCUUUCAUCACCUUUUUAUUCCUUCUUUUUUUUUUUUUCUGCCUAUUUGCGGUUCUUGCUAGCUUGAGUGGAGACAAAGCUCCUGGUCUGAAUGGUUUUUCUUUAGCCUUUUGGCAAUCUUGUUGGGAUAUUGUAAAAAAUGAAGUUAUUUCUUUGUUUAGUUUCAUGAUCUAGGUAACUUCGAGAGAAGCCUUAAUGCCACUUUUAUUGUGCUCAUUCCUAAGAAAGGGGGUGUAGAGGAUUUGAGGGACUUUCCAUCAGUUUGGUGGGGAGCCUCUAUAAGAUUCCAGCUAGCAUUUUGGCUAAUAGGCUAAAAAGAGUUGUUGGGAGAGUGAUUUCAAACUCCCAACAUGCUUUUGUGGUGGGAAGACAAAUCUUGGAUGUAGUCCUUAUAGCAAAUGAGGUGCUAGACUCAAGGUUGAAAAGCUAAGAAAGGAGGGUCAUCUGCAAAAUGGAUAUCGAAAAGGCCUAUGACCAUGUGAACUAGGGAUUCUUAUUAGCAGUCAUUGAAAAAAUGGGCUUUAGGGCAAAAUAGGUAAGGUGGAUGAAGUGGUGCAUAUCCUCAACUCGGUUUUUAGUUUUGAUUAAUGGGACCCCUACAGGUUUCUUUUAAAGUUCUAGAGGCCUAAGACAGGGAGAUCCUCUUUCCCCUUUUCUCUUUAUUUUAGCAAUGGAAGCACUUUCUCCAUUAAUCAGAAGAGUCAGUUAAGGUUUCUAAUGCAGAAGAGUCAGUUGGGGUGGUGGGGUGUAAAGUGGGCUCUCUCCUUUCUACUUAUUUGGGCCUACCUUUGGGUACUUCCUUCAAGUCUAUACCAGUUUGGGAUGUAGUAGAGGAAAGAUUUCAGAAAAGACUUGUGGAAAAGAUAGUAUUUAUCGAAAAGAGGGAGAUUUACUUUAAUUAAGAGCACUUUAUCUAGCCUACCAAUCUACUAGAUGUCUUUAUUUGUAAUCCCACGUAAGGUGAGCUUUAGAUUGGAAAAACUUCAAAGAGAUUUCCUUUGGGGGGAAGGAGAGCUCCAAAGAAGGCCCUGUUUAAUGAAUUGGUCAUUAAUUGGCUUGGAUAAAAAGGAUGGAGGUUUGAGGAUUAGAAAGUUGUCCACUUUGAAUAAAACCCUCCUUGGAAAAUGGAGCUAGAGAUUUGCUUAUGAGAAUGAGGCUAUGUGGAAGUUGGUGAUUGUAGGGAAGUAUGGAGAGGAAGAAGGAGGAUGGUGUUCUAGAGUUUUGAGGGAAGGUUAUAGGGUGAGUCUUUGGAAGGCAAACUGAAAUGGGUGGGAGGAAUUCAAUAAUAGGGUUGGUUUUAGGGUAGGAAAUGGUAGGAGGGUGAGGUUUUGGAAAGAUAGGUGGUGUGAGGAGGAUCCUCUGGCAAUGGCUUUCCUAGUGUUGUUUUCAAUUGCCAUUGAUCGAGAAGCUUAGGUAAACUAGAUGUGGGAGUAGGUUGGGAAAGGGGGUUGUUGGAACUGGGUGUUCAUAAGACAGAUAAAUGAUUGGGAAUUGGGAGAGGUGGAAGAGUUACUUAUUAGGUUGCAAGGACAAGUGAUUAGAAGUGGUGUUGAGGAUGUCAUGGCUUGGUGGUUAACAAAGGGAGGUACCUUUACGGUGAAGUCCUUUUACUCCUCCCUAGUAGGGUGCUCUCCAAGAGGCUUCCCGUUAGGUAUUGCGUGGUUUUUUUGCUUGGAAAUCAGUUUGAGAAAUUUUUUUAACUCUAGAUCAACUAAAAAGGAGGGGUUGGUGUUGUCCAAGCAAAUGUUAUUUGUGUAAAGGUGAAGAGGAGUCAGCAAACCAUAUCCUUCUCCACUAUCCAAAGGCGACCUUGUUGUGGCACCUCAUCCUUGCUCUUUUUAAUGUCCAAUGGGUAAUGCCUUUCUCAAUAAAGGAUGCCCUUCUUAGCUGGUAGGGAUCCUUUGUUGGGAAGAAAAGAAAGAAGGCGUGGAGAGUAGCUCCUUUAUGCUUAUUUUGGACCCUUUGGAAGGAGAGAAAUCAAAGAGCCUUUGAAGAUUCAGACUUGACAGACCAUGCUAUUUUACGUUCCUUCAUGUACAUGUUUUUGGAGUGGGUCAGGGUGCAUUUAUGGUCUAGCACUUUGCCUUUAUUUGAUUUUAUUGAUUAGCUGGGCUGUAAGUGAGGCGAGGGUGUUGUUUUUUUUUGAAUCCCUCCCCUUUUUUUGGCUUUGUAUACAUCGUGUAUGUUUUAGGUGCAUUUUAGGCGCUUUUAAUACAAUUGCUUUUACCUAUAAAAAAAAAAUAAUAAAUUUCUAAAAAACCUCCUACUGAAACAACUCAGCAGCGUAUGGAUCCAUCACAUGAUAAUCUAAUCCUACAUAUUACUUUUGACAAACUGAAUGGUAGGAUUUCUUGGGAAGAUGAUUUAAUUGCAUGGUACCAUUAAAGAACCAAAAAUCUUAGAUCUCUUUUUCAAAUAAUGGGAAGCUGAAAAUUUCUAGGUCAUCUCAUGGUUAAUCAACUUUGUGCAAUUUGAGAUCACUAACGUUUCCUAUUCCUUUCUACUGGAAAAGAAGUUUGGGAUGCGAUAACUCUGACAUAUUCCAAGAAAGGAAAUGUUGCUCGUAUAUUUGAGUUGAAGACAACAAUUCACUAUACAAAGCUAAGAAAUCUCACUGUGACUACCUGAAAACAACACUAUUACAAUAAUUCGAUUUGAAUUCACCAUACAAGAGUUCACUAUAUAGGUAUCACUUACUUCAAGCAUCAUCAAAUUCCAUAGCCAAGACAUUACCAUAAAAUCAUCUUCAUCCUAGGUGUCGAACUUCAGAUCCCCGAGUUUUGGGCCCUUUCCAAGCAUAUGACUCAAUUUGCCCUUCCCUUUUAGAAAGGUUCGAACAAAUUGAGACCUCUUCAAGUAGUUUUUUCCAUUCAACCGAUAACUUAGUUGGAUAUUUUGCAAAUCUUCGACUGAAACUAUGCUUGGUGUCUCUGUCACUUGAAUAUCGGAUGUGUUAGGCACCUUAGUUGCAUCAAACAUGAUGAUGUUGUGAGGGAAAAGAGAGAGAAAAAAUUAUGGGUAAUGAAGGCCAAGGAAAAUAAGGCAAACAUGAGAGUUUUCAGGCUGAAAGAAAAAAACUUUGCAAUUGGCAAUGAAGGCAUUAAGAAGAUUCUUGAAGGUGAUUGAUGAGUUGGCAUUGAGAGACCUUCUCUUACAGGGGGGGUUCGUUUACUUGGAAUGGUGGGCUAAAUGGGCAAACAAUGUCAAGAUUGGAUCGCUUUUUGGUGUUUGAGGAUUAGGAGAGUCAUUUUAGUGGGGUGGUGCAAAGCACUCUUUCUAGACUAGUGCUUGAUCACUACCCUAUUCUACUAGAUGGGGGAGGGAUGAGGAGAGACCCUAUUCCUUUUGGUUUUGAGAAUAUGUGGUUGAAGGAGGGGUUUAAGGAUCUGUUGAAAGGCUGGUGGCAAGGGUUUAAUUUCAAGGGCUCUUGCAGUUUCAUUCUAGUAGCAAAGUUGAAGGCCGUAAAGAGUAAUUUGAAAACCUGGAAUAAGGAGGUGUUUGGGAAGGUGGAGGUUAACAAGAGCUUGGCGUUACAAUAAGUGAAUUUAUGGGAUAAUUAGGAAAGGUCUAGUGCCUUAUUUGUGGAGGAGGUGGAGGCUAGGAAGGAGGCAAGAGAGGAAUUGAAGAAAUGGGUCCUCUUGGAGGCAAAAAUCUAAAGAAGUGUGGCUGAAGGAAGGUGAUAGGAAUACGGGUUUUUUCCAUAGGAUGGCGAAUUUUCAUAGAAGGAGUAACCUGACCAAGAUUAAAAUUAACGGAACAUGGUUAGGUGAGGAGCAUGAAAUAUAGGGGGGUGUUGUUAGUGCUUUCCAACACCUAUUGUCGGAUUCUGAUGACUGGUGUCCAAGCUUGGAUGGACUGGUAUUCAAGAGAUUAGUAGGGGAAGAGGCAGCUAGGCUAGAGGAGGCUUUCUCUGAUGAAGAGGUAGUCUUUACUCUCUUUGAUCUAAGCGGGAACAAAGCUUCGGGGUCGAAUGGUUAUUCCCUAGCUUUCUGGCAGUCUAGUUGGGAAUUUGUGAAGGAGGAGGUGAUGGGUUUUUUCCGAGAAUUUCACGAGGUUUGUUAGAAGUCUGAAUUCUACUUCUUUGGUUUUGGUUCCAAAAAAGGGUGGUGUUGAGGACCUGAGAGAUUUCAGACCUAUCAGUUUGGUGGGAGGGCUGUGCAAGUUGCUAGCAAAGGUGUUAGCUAAUAGGUUGAAGAAAGUGGUGGGUAAGGUGGUAUCCUCGUCUCAAAAUGCUUUUGUUGAGAGGAGGCAAAUUCUGGAUGUAGUGUUAAUUGCUAAUGAGGCUAUAGAUUUUCUACUGAAAAGCAAUGAGUGCGAGGUGUUGUGCAAGCUUGACUUAGAAAAGGCUUAUGACCACCUAAAAUGGGAUUUCCUGCUCCAGGUGUUGCAGAAAAUGGGGUUCGGAGAGAAAUGGGUAGGAUGGGUUAAGUGGUGUAUUUCUACAAGAACUUUCUCUAUUUUGGUUAAUGACACGCUGACAGGAUUUUUCAACAGCUCAAGGGGGUUGAGACAAGGGAACCCUCUUUCGCCCUAUCUUUUUGUGAUAGGAAUGGAAGCCUUAUCCUAUUUGAUUAAGAGAGCAGUUAGUGGGGGCUAUUUGACAGGUUGCAGGGUUAAAAGGAAGGGUGGUGAGGGAGUUCAACUCACCCAUCUACUGCAUGCUGAUGAUAUGCUGAUUUUUUGUGAAGCCUUUGAGGAACAACUGACUCACCUAAGUUGGGUGUUAAUGUGGUUUGAAGCCAUCUCUGGUUUAAGAAUUAAUUUGGACAAAAGUGAGAUCCUACCAGUGGGGAGGGUGGACAGUUUGGAGGAGUUGACCCUUGAGCUUGGGUGUAAGGUGGGGACGCUUCCUUCCUCGUACUUAGGGCACCCUUUGGGUGCCCCACACAAAUUAGCUGCUUGGGACGGGAUGGAGGAGAGGUUUCGGAGGAGAUUAACUAUGUGGAAGAGACAAUAUAUAUCUAAAGGAGGGAGACUCACUCUCAUUCAAAACACUUUGUCCAGCAUGCCUAUUUACCAUAUGUCUAUUCUGCGUAUGCCUAGAUCGGUUAGAUUGAGAUUUGAGUAAAUCCAAAGGGAUUUCCUUUGGGGUGGGGGGGCUUUGGAGUGGAAGACUCAUUUUGCUAAAUGGGCGGUUGUAUGCUCGGAUAAAAGGAAGGGUGGUUUGGGUGUUGGAUGCCUUUCUACACUUAAUAGAGCCCUUUUGGGUAAAUGGAGUUGGCGCUUAAUGGUAGAAAGGGAAGCUCUUUGGAAACAAGUUAUUAGUAGGAAGUAUGGGGUGGAAGAAGGGGGGUGGUAUACCUGUGAAGGAAGAGAGGGAUUUGGAGUGGGGUUAUGGAAGGAGAUUAGGAAGGAAGGUUCUUUGUUGAGCAACAACAUUGUGUUUUCCGUGGGUAAUGGUAGAAGAGUUAGAUUUUGGAAGGAUUCAUGGUGUGGUGCUGAGGCUUUUUGCAACUCUUUCCCCUCUUUGUUUGCUUUGGCGGUUUUGAAAGAGGAGUGGGUGUUGGAGGUUUGGGACCCUUCGGUUGAGGGGGGGAGUUGGGGUUCUCGUUUUUCUAGGGCUUUCAAUGAUUGGGAGGUGGUUUUGGUGGAACGGUUGCUCAUGACAAUUCAAGGGAAGAGGGUUAGCACAAAAUGGGAGGAUAGGGUGGUAUGGAAUAAGACAAAAAGUGGGAUUUUCCUAGUUAAGUCUCUCUACAGUGCAGUAGAGUCGGGAAAUACAGUCUGGUUUCCAAGUAACAUCAUUUGGAGUCCUUAUGUUCCUCUCAAAGUGGUUUUUUUUUUUGCUUAGGAAGCCUUGUGGGGGAAAGUUUUUACAUUGGAUCAGCUUAAGAGGAGGGAUUGGACCCUAGCUAAUAGAUGUUUCUUUUGUCUAGCCAAAGAGGAGUCUACUAAUCACAUCUUAAUCCACUGCUCGAAGACUAGGGUUUUGUGGGAGUUAUUAUUUGCUCUCUUUGAGGUGACUUGGGUUCUCCCUUGCUCGGUAAGGGAGACUCUUCUUGGAUGGUAUGGGUCCUUUGUUGGCAAAAAGCGCAAAAAAGCUUGGAAGCUGGUUCCUUUAUGCCUUUUUUGGACGGUGUGGAAGGAAAGAAAUAGGAUGACGUUUGACAAUGAAGAGUUUUCAAUUCAUUGGUUGAAGUAUUAUUUUGUGUGUAGUUUUUGGUUUUGGACAAAGUUGUAUAUAGAUGCUGGAUCUCUACCUUUAAUCAACUUUUUUGAUUGGUUGGGUUUUAGGUGAGGGCGGGUGAGGUUUUUGUUUCCCCUCCUUUUUGUUCUUCUUUGCCUUAUGGUGCCUACUAUAUAAUUCCUGUAUGCCUUGGGUUGUCCUCCGGGCUUCCUUUUUUAUAAUUUAUAUAUUUUGUGUGUUUACCUAUCAAAAAAAAAAAAAAAAAAAUGGGCAAUGAAGGCAAAAAUAAAUAAGAAUAUAUGGCUUCAAGGUACUCUGUUUUGCCUCGAAAAGACGGAGGAAGAUUGGGUACUGCAGCAGUUUCAAUGAUUGAGACAGCAAACACCUAGAGAAAAAAAUAUUCAGCAAUGAAGGUUGAAAAGAAAAUAUCCCAAGGAGCCAAAUUUGGCUCUAAUACCAUGUGAAAAUAUGGGAAUGUUAUUGAUUAAUUUGCCAUUGUACAUGGAAAAAUAUACAGGCUAACAAGAGUCAACUAAAUCCCUACAAAACUGGGAUACUGAUUCUUAAAAAAAAUAGAAAAUGAAGAAAUUUGAGGGAGAGAAAAAAAUACUUCUUUUUAUUUUUCUCACCUCUUUCAAACUGAUUCUUGUAUUGAUAUUUAUACAUGAAUGGCUGAGAUCAUUACUUUAGAAGAAGAAAUCUAAUCCUUGAUUUUAGGAGAAAGUCUCUCAUAAAUUCAGGAAACAAAAAUAAGAAUAGGAAAUAACUAUAUCACAAUAGCUGUAACAUAACUCUAACACAGCUGUAGCUCGAACAUAGUUGUGCAUACAGCUGCACCAUCCAUUAAGAAAUUCCAUUAUGGAAAGGAAGAUGCUAGACACCCAUUGAUCUUAACCACAAAUUGGGGUUUAUUAUAGAAAGAAAUUCCAUUAAGAAAGGAAGAAGCUAGAGGCUGGUGGGAAAAUUGAUUUACCUAUCCCAUAUAAGACCAAACAUAGCUUAUGCCGUAAGUAUGGUAAGUUAGUUAAUGCAUUCUUCAUUGGAAUGUCACGUGGACAUGGUUCAAAGAAUCUUGAAGUAUUUAAAGGUUAUUUUUGGAAAGGACUCUUGUCACCUUCAAAUAGAAGUUUAUAUGGAUGCAAAUUGGGUUGGUUUUCUUGUGGAUAGAAGGUCAAAUGGGAUAUUGCACUUUUGUUAGAGGUAAUCUUGUUACAUGGAGAAGCAAGAAACAGACCACUGAGGUAAGAUCCAGUGCUGAAGCUGAAUUUUGGACUAUGAAUCAAGGAAAUUAAAGGACUACUCAAAAGAGUUUAAAUUGAAGUCUUAUGAUGGUAAAGUUGCAAUUGGUAUUACUUAUAGUCCAGUUUAACAUGAUCAUACUAAACAUAUUGAGGUAGAUAGACAUUUCAUCAAAGAAAAAAUUGAGAGUAGAUAGAUUUCCACGCUUUUUGUAACAACUAAGCAACAACUCACAGAUGUCUUUACAAAAGGAAUCUCAAACAUCAUGUUUGAAUCUAUAAUUGGCAAGCUGGGAAUGCAUGACAUCUAUCACCAGCUUGAUGGGGAGUGUUAGCAAGAGCAACAUAGAAUCUGUCCGUAUUCAUAGAAUAUGGUUUAGUCAAUGUUUUAUGUAUAUAUGAUGGGCACAAAUAAUUGAGUAAUUUUAAGGAUUGUAUAGAUGUAUAUUAAUUAGUUUUUUCUCUAAUAGCUGUACAGAUUGUGUAUUUAUACCCUGUAAAAUGUUUCUAGUCUAAUUAAGUGAGGAGUUGUUUUCUUCUCUCUUCCUUUCUUCCACUCACAGCUUGAUCCCUGAGCUAAAGGGGAAUGCAUAAAACUUCCUAAAUUGUCGAUUUUUCAGCUAUAGCAAGGAGAAUCUCUCAAAUUGUGUAUACACUGCCAUGUGAUAACUUACAAGAAAAAUAUCAAUUUCAGUGCAAAGGACCAGCUUCACAUUUUGGAACCCCGACUGUUCUCCAGUGCAAUAAGUGAGCACUGGGAUGACAGUGCUUCUUCUGCGAACAACUUUUGUUGAGACUUUUUCAAGGUGUGGAGUUGAACGAGCAUGGGGAGAACUGCCAUGAUGUGCUCCUUCGUCAGUACUGGGAUAAUCAAGGACUACCAAAGGGUCUAAUUCAGUUCUCCAAUCCUGUAUAUGUCAAUGCUAUAUAUUUUUUGAUUGGAAACGACACAAAGAUUUAUUGAUAGAUAAAAAUAAUUACAAAAGAAGGAUGAGGAAUCCUCUUGCCAAAGAAAGCUAAGCUAAAGAAAAAUACACUGAAAACAAGCAAACACUAAAAAGACCACUCCUUAUGGAGUACACGCUGCUAUCCAAUCAAGAUGUAAUGCAUUAAGGGGAGUCCCCUUAAAAACCUUGGAACAAUAAGCCCAAAGAGAAGCAAGGAAAACAAUAGAGUCCCAUAGAAACUCUGAAUUCCUUGCUUUAUCCUCAAAAAUCCUCGCAUUUCUUUCCCUCCACACAAUCCGAAUAAGAGCGAUGUUUGCAGCUUGCCACAAGGCUAUCCCCCUCUUAGACGAACCAAAUCCAUUGAAUUUGAUGUACAUCAUGUCAAUGCUAUAUAUGGCCAGCCACUGCAUGCAAACCUCUUCUCUGUUCUGCUGCUGGGCCUUCUAUGCUUGAUCUACACAUGACCAGUGCCAGGGGCAUUACACCAUAAUUCAGCUCUGCACUCUAUUUCCUCUUUUAACUCUCUGGCAUUAACACUGUUGCUGUUGGUUCUUCAAAGCUUAUUCCUGGUUUUCCAAAAGCUGGUUAUCCAGUUCUUUUCCUGGCGCUCCAACUUACAUUUCCUGCUCUCCAGCACUUUGCAUUUCCCAUAAUUCUUCUUUUUCUAUUCCCCAAUUCGUUCCUCCAUCCGAACCAAGAGCUUAUUUAAUCCUCUAGAAACACUACAAAAACUACCAAAAGCCUAUUAGACAAACGAGAAUGGGGCUAAGCAUAAAAUAUGGCUGAAAGGAAUGUAUUGAUAACUGAAAGUCAUUGAGAGGUAUCGAUGGGAACUCAAUAAUGCAAUGUUUUGAGUUCUCAUCACGAAACUACCAGUUACUUAAAAAGUUUAAGCUAUUAUGGAAUGAGACAAUAAUAUAUGUCAAGCUAACUUGCUUUCCUUAAGAUAUCAUGACUUAAGGUUGGUUCGACUAGAGCUGGGUCUAUUGCAUUCCAUGUGUUGUUCUAUGAUGAUUAUUUGAAUUCCUAUAAAACUUCACAAAACUUCUUGAAUUAAUUCCAGUUCUGAAGCAACUGAAAUUUAACCCAUAUUGGGCACUAAGUAUAGAACCAAGUCAAAGUUUAUAAAAAUAAUAUUGGAAAGUCCUUUUCUAAAAUGAUUGUUUCUGUUAAAAAAUGUUUAAAAUAGUUAUUUUAUUUUAUUUUAGUACAAACUUCAAAAAGAAAGAAAAAAAAAAAUGGAAGAAGAAGAAGAAACAAAAUGUGCAGGAAUAGUAUGUUCUGUAUGGUUGUCUUAGUAUAUGGUCAAGGUGUUAUCCAUAUUAGCUUAAGUAUAUUAUAUUGUGCAUAUGAAAUAAUAUAUUUAAAGUGGCAUUAACGAGUAUUCCACAUGCAUUGUAGGCUGUUGGAUUAGUAGGGCAGCAAGAUACUAGAAGAUUGGAUCUUACAAGAAAUGGUUUACAAGUGCAGAAAACAAAAGUUGGACCUUUUGGAUCCCUUCUUUUUGACUCUGCCGUUUCUGUUUCCUCUGGUCCUGGGUGAGUGAGCUUCUCAAAACACGUCUCUAAAUGGCAACUUGAGGCAUGGUUCAUUUAGGAUCUUUAUUGUAUGGAUGCACUCAUAUAUAACUCACAAAAAUUUGCAUGUCUGAUACUGCAUGCUUUGUUUUCCUUCUCUGUGUGGUUAAUUUUGUUAGUUGACAUUCUCUCAUACAAUAACAUUGUGCCAGAAAAGAUGGGACUGAGAAUAAUUAAAGAAAUCACAAUGCAAAGGAACACUUGGGCAUCAUGUGAGAGAAUUCUCCUAACACUGCAUUCCAAACAAAUAUGUUUCCAUCAUUAAGGACGUAUAUGGUUAAUUGUGGAUAAUGUAAAAACAAGUGGCAUGCCAACAGGUCAUAAUUCGUAGUUGUCUUGUAGCCUUGAGUUUUUCUCUCAAUUCACUGGAUUUUGAAGGAUUAGCCUUAUGUUUAAGAAAGAUUUUAUGCUGGUUGAUGUACAUUAGAUUAAAGUUUUUUGAGCGGAUAUUUAGAAUCCAGGUGGUAUUCCAUUGUUAUCUGUGUUCAUUGUUUUUCUCUAGUUGAGUUGAAACAAGCUCAUCAUAUCAUCUUAGUCAAAAGUACAAGAAAGAUGAGAUCCCAAAUUUGAAUAUGGGUGUUUCUAAGUUCUGUAUUGGCUGAACUAUCAACCUAGAGUCCUUUUGCAUAAUUUCUAAGCCUCAAUCCAUUCAAAUGAUUCAAAAUCACGGGCUUAAACUUAUGCUUAUUUAUUCAAUCUUACGUCUAAGCCCCAUUUUCAGAAUUUAUUAUUCUAAGCCUAUGAUCCAGUAUUUUCAGGUUUUUCAAAAAUAGGGUUCCUUUCCAAUAAGAAGGUGUAUUAACCAUUAUCAUGAAGGUCUUUAACAAUCGUAUGGUUUAUUCGUCCCUCAUUAAAUCUUUAAGGUUUCAAAACUCUAGGUUCAAAAUCAGUGGAGGAACCAACAAAUGGGUUGAGGCGGGGCAAGAUCUGGGUAUUAAUUUCAGUGGGAGAGUCUAUCAAAAUAAAAAUAAAAUAAAAAUUCAGCGGGGGCAAAAAUUGAACAAAUUGCAUGUAUAGCCUAAUGGUAACUAAGGAAUUCAUUUCAUUCCUCAUAUUUGAGAAAGGGAUCAAAUCCCCCUUUAUGCACAAUUGUUUUUUCUUUUAUUCCUUUUUCCCAGAGGGAGGAGGCAGGGGGCAUAUGCCCUCCAGGGCAUGCCUUGCCUCCACCACUGUUCAAAAUACAAGGAAAAAAAAACGAUAUUUUGAUCCCUUACCUUAAACCUUGGAGACUAAGAGAAAAAAUCUCUUCCUUUUUCAUCUUCCACCUUCUCUCUCUCUCUCUCUCUCUCUCUCUCUCUCUCUCUCUGUGAGGUGGUGCUUUAACAAAAAAAUGGUUUGGAGUUCUAUAGUUUUUCAGGGCUUUCUACUCUUCUGUGACUAAUCUUUAAUGCCCCUCACUUAUCUUUAUAAUGUGCAAACCUUAGCUUAGAAGUUUCCAGAAAAUGUCCUUAAAAUCUCUCAGUCCCUUGAUUAAAUUAAGAACCCAUUGAAAUGGUUUUCUACUAUAAAAACCAUUUAUUUAAAAACAUUAAACCGCAUCCUAAGGUUGGAUUAUUUCAAAAGAAAAGGAUCUACUAAAUUGUGGAAAACCUAAAAUUUGGUUUUGGGUUUGUUUAUCAUAAAAGGUUUACCAAGGGAUAAAACAUUGAAAAUGUUCUCACAUUUUCUGAAUAUUACCAUUUACAACCAACAAUUUUUGGUGGAAAAACUCGCCCUUAAAAUAAAAUAUUCUCAAGUCCAGUCUGCUCUUUGACCACAGUACCUUGAAAAAAAAAUCAGGGGUAUUUUACAUUAGUUGUGGACAACUAUCCCAAAUCAUGUGUUUUCCCUAUGAUGGAAAGCGAUUUAUCUAUAUUAAAAAAAUUCAUUAUUGCAUCAUAUUCGCACUAGGUAAAUGCCUCCUUUUUGUCUAGAAAAAGUUGGAAUUAUUCAUAAUAACAUAUUGAAACUGCAUUCCAUUUAAUCAAGGAUGUGUGUCCUAGAAUACUGCAUUCAGAUGUGAAAUUACACGACUCGUAAAUUGGUGAAAAAUUAAUAUUGCAUUGACAAACAAAAAAGUAGUCACAAGGAACUUUUGAAUUGGAAAGCUUGGUUAAUCAGAUGGAUGCAGCAAGAUGAAUGCCCGCCAUUAACUGACCUGAAAGCUCAUAUUGGUACUAUGUAAUUGUGUUUCAGCAUUCAAUUCAUUUUUUUUUUUCUGUAAACAUAUUUUUUCUCCUGGAACUCUUGAAUGUAAACAGUUACUUUUGUUCCUUAUUGAGAAAAUUUGUAAAUCUAUGUAACAUAAAGCUUCUAGUAACUAAUGGUAAUGGACUUAGGUUAUUUGCUUUGGUUCACAUGGUUGAGGAUCAUCUGUCUUCAUUUGCAUCUUUGACUUGAUUUACAAAAUUCACAUCUCUAUCAUAUAUUUAUAUUCAGGUCCGAAACAUGGGUGCUGGAAUUUGUGGACUUAGGAGGUGAAAUGAGACGAGAUGUCUGGUAUGCAUUUAUUAAUGAAGUUAUUGCUUUAUACAAGUUCAUAAAUGAGUAUGGAGCAGAGGAUGGUGAUCAAUCUGUAUUUCAUGUGUAUGGUGCUCACAAAGGGAAGGAAAGGGCUAUCACCGGUGCAAUGAACAGUAUUGCUAGACUUCAGGCCCUUCAAUUUAUCCGGAAGUUGUUGGAUGAUCCAAUUAAACUUGUUCAGUUCUCAUAUUUGCAAAAUGCACCCUAUGGAGACAUUGUGUUGCAAACUCUAGCUGUUAAUUAUUGGGGUGGACAGUUAGUCACAAAAUUUAAGGAGGCAGGCUAUCUACCAGAUCGAGGAUCAAGGUCUUCUGAUGAUGUGUUUGAAAGUAGUAACCAUGUAUUUGACAUAGAUGGAAGUGUCUACUUCAGGAAGUGGAUGAGAUCUGCAUCUUGGGUUUCUAGUUCCUCUAUAGCUUUCUGGAAGAAUGCGUCAAUAAAACAAGGGGUUGUAUUAAGUAAAAAUCUUGUCGUGGCUGAUACUACUCUUGUAGAAAGGGCAGCGGUAACAUGCAAACAUAAAUACCAAGUGGUUGAGAAAACACAAGCCACAAUUGAUGCAGCAAUGCUUAAAGGGAUACCCAGCAACAUUGACCUUUUCAAGGUUGGGCCGUCAUUUCAUUUAUUUUUAUUUUCAAUCCUAAUUUCUUUUCUUUUUCCCUUUUUUGUUGUUGUUUAGUUUUUUCAUUAAGUGUUUCUAGUGCAAAACUUUCCGUUGAAUCCCAUAUUAUCAUCACUUUGAUGCAUCUUUGAUAAACUGCCGCACUGGUUCAAAUAUUUCAACUAAGCAUGAUUUUAAGAAAGGAUAAAUUUCACUCGCCUCCUUUGAGGUUUGGGCUAAAUAUACUUAGCCACCAUGAGUUUGAAAUUUGAUCAAAUACCUCCCUUAUUUUGAAUUAAAGGGAGGUGAGCAAAAAACACAAAUAAGAAGCAAAGUGGAGGUAUUUGAUGAAAUUUCAAAUUACUGGUGGCUAGGUGUAUUUACUUCAAACCUUAGGGGAGAUGAGUGAAAUUUACCAUUUUAAGAAACUAUAUGAGUUGAUUCUUCUCUAGAGGGAUUGAAGUUAUAUUUCUAAUGUUUGUUUCAAUAAUGAAAUUACUAGUUAAUAUCGGAUUUUUGCAUUUGUGCAGGAACUUAUACUUCCUUUGACUGUCACUGCCAAGAAUUUUGAAAAACUUAGGCGCUGGGAGGAGCCGCACUUGACCGUCUCCUUUCUUGCAUUUGCAUAUACACUUAUUGUCAGGUAGAUUAUUAUGACAAUGUUGUUUGGAAGAAUUUUUGUUGUAUACAGUUUGGUUUUGAAUUCCUGAAUUCAAGUUUACAUAGUGCUCAGGUGAUGUUUGAAAGUUUUAGUAACUUCCUACUGCCAAGAUAAUUGAUUAGUUUAUAAUAUUUGACUGCUACAUGUUUUCUGUUGAUGAUAUUACAGUAGUUUCCUUUUUAUGAAACCAAUGUCCUGCAAAGGUUGUUAUUUUUAUUUUUUAUUUUUUAUUUAUUUUUAUUUUUAUCUUUAUUUUUUGGUGUUAGAAUAUUUGCUUUGAUCAUAGCUCUCAAUUUUACAACAUCCCUUUCUAAAUAUUUUUUGAGAGAUGAAAUCAGUUCUGGACGUAAUGCUGUAAACCUUUGUGUCGCUAUUGUGUUGCUUGAAGAAACUAGAAAAAUCAUUAGUUUUUUCCAGUUUCUUAUUUUUCUUUUUUACUUUGGCUAUUUGCUAAAAUACCAGCUACUGCAAGGAUAGUUUGGUUUGCAGGAAUAGGAAUGAAGGUGAAUUGGAAUACCAUGUGGAAGAAAGGAAUCAAAAUUUUUAUAAGAGUGGGUUUUGGUUUCCAUGAUAAUGAUUUUUUAUUCCUAUUUCCAUUUCUAGUAAGUAAUCCAAACACAGUAAUGAAUGGGAAAAGGAAUGGAUUUUCCAUUCCCAUUCCAUAUUCUUGUAUACCAAGUGUACCCUAGAAGUUCAAGUUAUUAGGGAAUGGACCAACAAUGUAUAUUAAGCUAACAUCCUCCCCCACCGCUAGUGGAGAGAGACAAUAAUCCUAGACAAACAAACAGACCGAGAGGCUCAAACUAGAGAUUUCUUAAGGUCCAGAGCUUUGCUAUCAUAUUCAACUAGCUAUUACCCAAAAACUUAACCUGAUAGGAAAUGGUCCAAUGAUCUGUAUUAAGCUAAUAAUAUGCAUGAUGGAAGUGAAAUGCAAGGAGGAUAGAUGUUUAGUAUCACUACAAGAACCCUAGGAAUGAUCAAUUUGGGUUUGAAGCCGCUUCAGGGUUAAGGAUCAAUUUGGAUAAAAGUGAAAUAAUCCCAAUUGGCGAGGUGGAAGAGAUGGAGGAGAUGGCAGCGGAAUUGGGCUGCAAGGUGGGCUCUAUGCCUUCUGUGUAUUUCGGGCUGCCAUUGGGGGCUCCUAACAAGAGUACCGCCGUGUGGGAUGGGGUGGAAGAGAAGAUGAGAAGAAGACUUGCGCAUUGGAAACGUCAAUAUAUUUCCAAAGGUGGGAGACUUAUUCUCAUUAAGAGCACGAUGGCUAGUAUGCCAUUGUAUCAAAUGUCUCUCUUCCGUAUGCCUAAGUCGGUUGCGCGAAGGUUAGAAAAAUUGCAAAGGGAUUUUCUUUGAGGAGGAGGAAACUUAGAAAGGAAAGUGCACCUUGUUAAUUGGGAGGUUGUGUGUACGGAGAAGGAAAAGGGGGGGCUUGGCUUAAGGAAGCUAAUCCCGUUAAACAAAGCUUUGUUGGGAAAAUGGAUUUGGAGGUUUGCUUGUGAAAAGGAAAAUCUGUGGAAACAAGUGCUUUUGGCGAAAUAUGGGCAAGAGGGAUUUGGUUGGAUGACCAAAAAGGCUAAUGGGACGUUUGGAGUAGGGGUUUGGAAGGAAAUUAUGAAGGAAAAAGAUUGGUGUUGGGAAAAUAUGGCUUUUACUAUGGGGAAUGGUACCAGAAUCAGAUUUUGGAAUGAUCUUUGGUGCGGGUGUACAGUGUUGUCCCAAAGGUUUCCUCACCUUUAUGGGAUGGCUNNNNNNNNNNNNNNNNNNNNNNNNNNNNNNNNNNNNNNNNNNNNNNNNNNNNNNNNNNNNNNNNNNNNNNNNNNNNNNNNNNNNNNNNNNNNNNNNNNNNGGGGUACAAUCCUAAUUUAAAAGAGGAUGUUGCUUUUUUGGAAAGGGGGAAGAAACAGACAGUUUAAAGUAAAAGAAGCCUACAACUUGGUGGUAAAUACCGUGGCUAACAAUUUUCCGAAGAACAACAUUUGGGUGGAUAAAGUUCCAACAAAAAUUCUGUUUUUUGCAUGGGAGGCUACUUGGGGCAAGGUGCUUACGCUAGAUAGGCUUCAGAAAAGAGGGUGGCAUCUCCCUAAUCGGUGUUUCUUGUGUGGCUGCGAAGAGGAAACUGUAAAUCACAUUCUCAUACAUUGUAUAGUGGCAAAAGUCCUAUGGGAUAUGAUAUGUGCUUUGGUUGGUGUUCAGUGGGUCUUUCCAGAAACUGUAAAGGAGGUCUUAUUAAGCUGGAGGAAACCUUUUGUAGGGAAAAAAAGGAAAAAGAUAUGGAAGUCUAUACCGUUGUACAUCUUUUGGACCCUUUGGAGGGAAAGAAAUAGGCUUGCUUUUAGGGGGAGGGGGUGAUAGAUAUUCAGAAAUAAAAAAAUUCAUUUGUCUGUAAUUUAUGGUGUUGGGCGAGAAUGUAUAGUGGAGAGAGGUCGCUGUCUCUUAUAGGCUCCUUGGAGUGGAUAGCCUCCACAUAAGGGCUGGUGGGGUUCUUUUGUUUUCUUUUUUGGUUGUAAGGCUUAGCUAGAUUGUAUACUCCUUGUAUACGUGUGGCUUUUUGGCCUCUUAUCAAUAUAUUCUGUGCUUACUUAUCAAAAAAAAAAAAAAAAAGAAUCCUAGGAAUCACUCCUAGAAACCUUUAGGCUUCACACCUAGUUGUUGUUUGUGUCACACAAAGAAAAUAGUGGAGGUUAGAAAUUUUAUCAUUCAUUCAUUGAUUUUUUUUAGAAGAUAGAUUGACUGCUAUAUAGAACUUCUCCAAAGACUUGUUAACUUCUUGGAACUAUUCACAUGGUAGUAACAUAGCUUGAAAAUAUUAGAAGUUAAGAAUGUCUACUAGGAUGAAUCCAUAUUAAAUUAUAUAAGAUCCUAGCUAAGCUUAUUUUCAUCCUAAGAAUGCCAAAUUAAAGUUUGGACCUUAGAGUUAAAGCCCAUUCCUUUGCGCCUUUGGUAAGCUUUUAAAGGUGGCUGCCACUUGUUUCCAUCAACUCCCCUUGGCUUAGGAAAACUCAACCUUGAUAAAUUAAAUGCAUGAAAUCUCUCAUCAAGGUCAUGAUUCAAGUGUUAAAAUUCUCUAUCUUCAAUCCAUAUGGAGUUUGAAAUUGGCUUGCCUAUCCAUUUGAUGAGAUACUUUUGAUACAACCAUCCUCUUGUUGAAACAAUUUGGUGAUUAGUAACGUCUUCAAUUUCUUCCUUCAUUUGAAGGGCUGGUUGUGGGUGAGCAUUUGGACCAUUUGUUGUAGCAUCUUUAGGAUUAGAACAUAAGGUUAGGCCCUCAAUGUUGAAGAUGUUACUAAUGCCUAUAUUUUCUAACAAAUAAAGAAUAUAAGCAUUGGAGCUAAUUUUCUUGAGCACUUUGUAUGGGUCAAUUAUUCUUUGAGUCAAAUUUCUUGUAUGCGCCUUUAGGAUUUUUUUUAGGCCUUAUCCUUGCCAUAAUUGUAUCUCUUGUGCAAUGUUUUCAAAAUCGGACCGGUUAUUGAACUGAAAAAGUUAUCGGUUCACAGUUCACUGGUCGGACUAGCGGUUGAAUUGCGGUCGAACUGGUGACGUCAUAAAUUUAUAUUUUAUUAUUUUAUAUAUUAUUAAAAUUAAAAAAAUAAUAAAUUCUAUCUAAAUUUUUAUAAUAUCUAUCAAAAUUGUGAUAAAAAAAUAAAAAUAACACAUUAAAUAAUAAAUAUAAAAGUAAUAAAACAUAAAAAAUAAAUUUUAAAAAAUAAAAAUCAAACGUUGGAGCAGCUACUGCCACUGCACAGGCCGGGGGGGGAGUGGUUUACAACUGGCCGGAGGGGGCUUACAGCGGCAAGGGUUGGCUUGCCGACUUGCAACGGCACGAUGGAGAAGAGGCGACAGUGUUACGGCCGGUGGAGGGAGAUUUUGCAUAGUGAAACGGCCGACGGUGGGAGCCUAUCACGGCGUGUUGGGGGCGGGCUGGAGGCAACGGCAGCUGCUACAGUUUGGAGAGGGAGGGCUUGGAAGGAGGUUUUAUAUCCUCCAAAACAACGUCGUUUUGAUGCUGAAAAGAAAAAAAGAAAAAUUAAUUGAACCAUUCGGUUCGGAGGGAAUCGUCCGGUUCACCAGUCGGACCGCCGGUUCAAUCCCGGUUCAACCUAUUUUUGGUUUAAUUGACUGGAUCGGACCAAAACCGUGAUCGGCCGACGGUCGGACUGGCUGAUCCAGUCCGGUUUUUAAAACCAUACUCUUGUGUUAAAAUCAGUAGACUUCCUAUUCAAAUCAGCAUGUGCCUUGUAAUUCUCAUUACUAAGAGCAAUUUUCCAGACAUCAUCAUGUAUAUCAUGUAUAUGUUUACCAAAAGCAUCGACUUGAACACUUGAUCAUGCCUCCAUUGGUUUUAUCAAUAGGCUUCCUAAGAAGCAAAGUAGUCAUGAUCUCAAAGGGGCUGCAACUUGUAGGUCUGUUGACAAAACUGUUGUAUGUCAAGUCAGCCAUUGGAAGAAUUUGCUGCCACUUAGUAACAUGUUUGCCACCUUGGCAACGAAGUAGAUCACCCAAACUUUGGUUAACAACUUUUGUUUAGCCAUCAGUUUAAGGGUGAAAAGUACUAGAAAACUUAGCUUUAUGUUCAACUUCUUCCAUAAACUUCUCUGAAAAUAACUCAAACUUUGCAUCCUAAUGACAAACAAUAGUCUUGGCAAAGCAUGAAGCUUAACAAUUUCUUUGAAAAAGAAUUUAGCAACAUGGACAGCAUCCAAAGUCUUUGAACAUGGGAUAAAGUGCACCAUUUCAGAAAAAAAAAUCUACCAUGACAAUAUGGAGUCAUGUCCCCUGAAAGGUUUUGGCAAACCAAGUACAAAGUCUAUGCCUAGGUCUUUGCCAUGGCUCAGGUGGCAUAGAGAGUGGCAUGUUCAGUCCUGCAUUUUUCUUCCUCCUCUUUGAUUGUUGGUAUAUGCAGCAUUUAGUAACAUUCUUAGCUACUUUUUUCAAAACUUGGCCAAUAAAAUUGAUUUUCUGUCAUUCCAAUCGUUUUAUCUCUUCCAAAAUGAUCAGUUGGUCCUCCAAAAUGCAAUUCCUAUUUCACUUGUUCAUGAAGUCGUGUUAGGUAAGCAAAGUGGGGUCCCCUUGAAAAGAUAUCCAUCAUGCAGCAGAAAAUCAGGAUAUGCUCCCAGGUUCCUAGCUACUAGGUCAGUAUAUAUAAUGCUGAAAUACUUCCAUGAAUGAUAAUCUUGUUUCAACAAAACAAAUUCCUCAAAUUGUAUAGCCAUAGAAGAAAGAAUAUACACCACUCUGCUAAGAGAAUCAGUUGCUUUGUUCUCAACUCCUGAUUUAUGCUUAAUAAUGAAGGUGUAUUCUUGUAAGAAGGAGAUCCAUUUCACAUUCCGGUUAUUAAGCUUAGUUUGAGAGUUGAUAUACUUGAGAGCUUCAUGAUCAGAAUAUGAAACAAACUCCUCUGGAAGCAGAUAAUGAUCCUAAUAGUGCAAAGCUUGAACCAUAGCAUAGAAUUCUUGUCUAGGUUGAGUAUUUUUGCUUUGCUUCAUUCAGUUUUUCAUUGGAAAUGCAAUAGAAUGUCCUUCCUGACUCAUUGCACCUCCAAUUCCUAUGUUUGAUGCAUUGCAGGCUACUUCAAGAAGUUGCAAAACAGGUGCUUCAGUCAACCUCUUGUUUAUCUCUUCAAAAGCCUUUGCUGCUACCUUAGUCCAAACAAAUUGGUUUUUUUUUCAUACAAUUAGUGACAGGAUCUGUAAUAGUGCUAACUAGGAUGGCUUGUACCUUAUCAGAGUCUACUUCUGACCCCUUGGCUGAAACAAGGGGUCAUGAUGGAACAUUUUUUAAAUUUAUGUAGAGUUUUUCUCACCAAAUAACUCUCAUAGCUUGUUGCAAAUGGAAGACAUGAUUAUCCUCAGCCUUGCGGUAGAUUAAUAUGUUACCAAUGUAAGCAACUAGAAACUUUCCAAUAAAUGGUUGAAGUACUUGAUUCAUGAAACACAUGAAUGUGCUAAGAGCAUUUGAGAGGCCAAAAGGCAUGACUAGGCACCCAUAGAUACCAUCCUUCAUCUUAAAAGCAGUCUUCUACUCAUCCCCAGGCCUUUAUCUGAUGAUACCCACCCUUCAAAUCUAUCUUUGAAAAGAUAUAAGAUCCUGCCAUUAGAUCCAACAGACCAUUUAUCCAAGGAAUAGAGAACCAAUAUUUGAUGGUUAUCUCGUUGAUUGCAUGGCUGUCUAGAAACAUGCAUUGACUGCCAUCUAUUUUUAGGGUUAGUAAGGCAAGGAUAACACAAGGACUUAAGACACUCGCAAAUAAGUCCCUUGGAUAGUAGCUCUUCCACUUGUCUUUUAAGCUCUGCAUUUUCACUUGGAUUAAAUAGGCUGGAAGAUUAGACAAAUGGAAUCCUGGUAUAAAGUCUAUAGCAUGCUGAAUAUUGCAUAGUGAGGGAAGUUCAUUAGGUAUCUGCUGGAGCUACGUUUGAGAAGUCAUUGAGCAGUUCAGUGACCUUCUUAGAUAUAGAAGAAAUGCUGCUAGCAUUUGUCUUCUUGACUUCUUUCAUCACCAUGACAUAUAUUACCCAAUUUUCCUUGCUUUCUUUCUAAAACUUCUUAGAAAGAAUAAGAAGAGAACUCUUCAUGUCCCUUGGCAACUUUUGCUGACUUUGGAAUAUCGUAUUUUUGCAUUUCAGCAUUAGUCACUGGUUUCAACGAAACUUCUCUUGAAACUGUAAGUGUUUUCUUUCCUAGAAUGAUGUAUACCUUGGUCAUAAAGCCGAGGAUGACCAAGAAUGACAUGUAUUACUUUCAUAGGGAUCACCGUCGCACCAAAUUGAAUCACUAUAAACACCACAAGAAAGAGAAACAAAUAGACCUGUUAUUUAUCCAUGCUACCUUGUAUGGUUGUGGGUGUGGCUAAAUAGGAAGUUUGAGGUACUCAAUUGGUGGAGGCUGAGACAACAUUCAUGCUCCAAGCCAAUAUGUAAGUUCUUCUUGGAACAAUUGUAUGCUAUGUGGCAAGGUUGUUGACGCUUGAAACACUUGAUGCCCUUACCCUUAGGAUCAGCCACUUGAGAAGAAGAUGGAUUAUACCUUGUGGUUGGAUCCUGUCCUCAUACUGCAACUUGUGUCAUUGAACUGCUUAUGCACAGAUUCCCUAGCUGUAACUCCUGGCUCCCUAUUGAUUGAAUAUCCCACAUAUUCCUCCAUAUCUAAUGCAACUUGAAAAGCAUAUUCUAAGCUGUAUAAUGGCUGAUACAGCAACUCCCUUUUCAUUUUGGGUCUUAGUCCAACUUAAAUCUUGCAAGUGUUUUCUGUGAACCUUCCAUUAUUUGACUUCUUGUCUUAAAUCAAAUUUCUGCAUAUACUCAGCAACAUGCAUGUUGUUUUGCCUCUAAUUAAUGAGCUGAUCACAUUUACUAAUUUGUGGGGCAUAUAUUUCUACCAUAGCUUAGCCUUCAUCUCUUGCCAUGUGCUGAUUCAUGGUAGCCCCAUCCUUCUACUGUCUACUUCAUCCUUGUCCACCAAAAUUUCGCUAAACCCACAAUUUUCAUUUUAGCAAAUCCCACUCUUCGGUCAUCAGUCAUCAUACUAAACAAAGUACUCUUCAAUUGCAGCUAGCCGAUCAAUAAAUUGAGUAUGAUCUGCCUUUUGCUUGGAAAUUAUGAACCUCUAUUUUCACUUUCUUGGAGAUAUCUCCAACGAUGUCACAAACUAAAUUUCUUCUUUCAAGUAAUCCUCUAGUCGAUUCAAACAUAGGGUAUCAUGGUGCUUGAAUUGCUUCUUGGUCCUCCUAGUUUUCCUUAAUGCAAGCCUGAGACCUUUCCCCCUUGCUUAACAUGUGAUGAAUCCUUAGUGGGUGAAGAUGUUUGUGUCUCGACAUUGGUUAGUUGAAUGUGGAGGCUAUGAAGCUGGUUCACCGUCUGAAUUAGCAUUUCAUCAUGCUGGUUGUCAAAAACCUUCCUCUAAAAGUCCGUCUAGAUCAUGCAGUCAUGAUCUCAACCUCACUCUGAUACCAAAAUUGCUGCAGGACAGGGAAGUGAAAUGCAAGGAGUGUAGAUGUUUAGUAUCACUGAAAAAACUCUAAGAAUAACUCGUAGAAACCUUUAUGCUUCACCCCCAAGUAUUGUUUGUAUCACAUGAAGAAAAUAGUGAAUGUUAAAAAUUUAUCAUCCAUCCAUUGAUUUUUUUCAGAAGACAGAUCAACUACUGUAUAGUACUUCUCCAAUAACUUUUUCAAACUAUUCACAUAGUUGGAAUGCAGCUUGAAAAUAUCAGAAACUCGGUUUUACUACUAGACUUCAUUAAAAGACUCUUGGAAAAUGAUGACAACAUUUCGAUGGACAAUAAUAACUUAUGACAAUUGACUGGGCCCAUAAUUUGAUUCUUGUAAAGUACUUCUAGGUUGAAUCCAUAUUGAAUUAUAUAAGAUCCCAACUAAGUCCAUUAUCAUCCGGAGAAUUGCCAAAUUAAAGUUUGGGCCUUAGAGCCCAGCUCUUUGCACCUUUGGUAAACUUUUAAAGGUGGCUACUACUUGUCUCCAUCAAUGCACCUUCAAUUCAAAAAGAGAACUUUAUCUCUCUUUAAAAAUACUCAUUAUUUAUCUAUUUUGACAAAGUGAAACACAGCGGCAACCCAGGAAUUUCUUAGUCCUUUCAUUAAAAAACUUAACUUUUUAUGCAGGCACUCUGAUGUGAUGUAAGAAUCUGCAGAUGCCUUCCCUUUUCUAAACUACUGUGAUACAUUGCCCUUCAUAGGGACAUUUUGUGCUUAGAACAUGUUUAUUUAGGUAAAUGCUGGUUAUUAUCAGUUUUUUCUGUUAUUGAGAGACAAAUCCAAUUUCCGAAUAUUUGUCCCAUCUUCUAGAAUCUGAUAAGUUACAAAUGUUUCUUAUUUCAGUCUCAUGUUUUUCAUUCUUCUGUAAAUGUUCCUAGUUCAAGAGAAGAUUUAAUAGAAUGUGGCUUAGGAUGCGAUCUAGAAGUUGUUUUUAUAUAACCCUUUAACCAAAGAUAUGCCUUUUAAAGAGAUGGAGAAUACAAUUUAUAGUGUUAAGCAGGAACUUUGCUUUAUUAGUUUUUUGAAGGCAUUCAAAAUGCUUCAUAUUUUUACACACUAAAUCUAAGCUGAAAUGUACUGAUUGUUUUGUCAGAAACUUGCUGCCAUAUGUAUUUCCCAUGACAUUGAUGAUCGUGGCAUUUGGCAUGUUGUUACUAAAGGGCCUCAAGGAGCAAGGUCGUCUGGGAAGAUCUUUUGGAAAAGUUACUAUACGUGAUCAGCCACCUUCAAAUACAAUUCAAAAGAUCAUAGCUGUAAAAGAAGCCAUGCGUGAUGUUGAAAACUAUCUACAGAAUCUGAAUGUUACACUUCUAAAAAUACGUACAAUUAUUCUUUCAGGUCAGCCCCAGGUAUGUCGUCAUGACACUGUACAAUUAUUCUUCUGAAUGUUACACUUCUAAAAGUUACUAUAUGUGUACAAUUAUUCUUUGUUCUUAUGAAAAUUCUUGAACCUGUUAAAUGUCAUUUUUUCUUUUAUUAUUAUGUGGGUGCAUUUAGUCUGUGGGUGGUUGACAAUUGGCAGGAUAUGUUUUUCCAAAUUUAUCUUAUUUGAUCAAACAUCAUCUUGGAGGAAAAAGUAUAUGCAAUAACAUAGCUGUGGUAAAUAAACUGUUUGUGCCAUGCAUACUUAAAAAACUAUAUGAAAAUUAUGAUGUCUGAAAUUUCUAAGAAUGGGAAUUCAUUUUAGAUACCUGACUAGUGACUUCAAAAAAUAGAGUUGUAGUGUAGAAAUCUGGGUUUACAAUUGAGUUUUUUUCUAAUUUUAUUUAUUUGAUUUCUUUUAAAUUUAUUUUCACAAAAAGCAGCUGAAUGAAAUAAAUAAAUAGUUCUUUGAUUCUGUUCUUCACUGCUGGCCUUGUGGUCUGCUGAUUGGGUCUCCGAAAAGUUAAUCGGGCAAGUGAUAUUCUCUUGGCAUAUUGCUGGGGUGUGUUAUUUGCUGCAGUGAAAAGAAAAUUUUUUGGUACCUUUCUCAACCAUGCUAUAAAUUGGCAAAUAUCUGACUAUUUAGGAAUCUUACACAAGUAUUUUAACAAUUUUGUUACCUAAAUUAUAUCUAUGUCACACGCGAAUGAUCACAGUAAUUCACUUAAGCACAUGUGCAUGUGGUUACCAUGCUGAGAGAGAGAAUGUGAAUUUUUUUCCACUUUUGUGCUUUAAAGUUUAGUGUUAUCUUGUUUUUCUCUUUCUUUUUCACUCAGACAGUAACUGAUUGAUUUGAAAUCUUCAGGUAACAACAGAGGUUGCCUUGGUGCUGUUAGGUUCUGCAACCAUUCUCCUUGUCAUUCCUUUUAACUAUGUUCUUGGUUUUGUUAUCCUUGAUCUUUUCACACGAGAGCUUGAGUUUCGUAGAGAAAUGGCUAUGAGGUUCAUCAGAUUUUUGAAGGAGCGUUGGGAUACUGUGCCUGCAGCGCCGGUUGCUGUAAUACCGUUUGAGAGUGAUGACUCUUGGUCAGUGGAUCAAAGGAAAGAAAUUAAUAACAAAAAAUCAGAAAGAACUCAAAACAAUAUUAAGUCUAGAUAAUUUGUUACAUGUACAUUUUUCAGGGUGGAGUUGUGUAACAAAAUGGCCAGCACUUCCCAGUUAAAGAAAAAGCAAAAUUUAGCCAAACUUUUCCUGCUGAUUAUUUUUUAAAAUGUAUAUAAAUUGACAUUUUCUUUAUUAUUUUCGUAAGCUAAUAAUUAGAAAUUUUUGGUUCUGAAUCUCAUGGUCAUAAAACGCAUUAAGAGCAUGCAUUUUAUGGAGAGAGCAAACUGGAGAAGUUACAACUUAAUACUGCAGACCUUUAUUAUUGCAAGAUGCUUGAAUCACUCAGGAAUUCAGCUGAGAAAAUGGUGCUGGGGUCUUUUCUGAAAGCAGGACAUUAUGUAAUCACCAAAUCCAGGUAAAACCUUUGAGAACGUCUCUUUCCAUCUUCAUUUUAGUUAGCUGCUUUGACUCAAUUCUUGGAUCAUGCAUAUAUUUCCUUCUUUUGUGUAUGAUUGCAUCAUCUCAUCUGAUUCUAAAAUCUUCUUUAUGCUUGCAUGAUACGUACAAAGAUUACUUUGGAUUCUAUUCCUAGAGAAUGUAAGAACUUAAUUUGGGUAUGGCUUGAUGCCCAUCAUCCAUUACUUGCAGAGGGAGUUGUUUGAUUAAAGAAGACACACCCGAACUACAUUAGAAAACUUUGAAAACAGGGGUAAUAUUCGUUGGGGCAUCUUUGUACAAGUUCUAUAGUAAACAUUUGGAAGAGAAUUGGAACAUCAAACAAAAAAAUACACUAUGUAAAUAGAGAUAAUAGUCCCAACAACAACAAUAGUUGGUUGAUCCAAAAAAUUAUCGACACUGUACCAGAUUUUAUCUAAUUGGAAGCCCUAAAUUAAUCAUUGAGGCCAAUGGCAGUAUCAGGAGCCACCACCAUGUAUGAGAGAGUUCUUUUGAGCCCUUUGAUGCAUUGCAGUUCAGUUUCUUGUCAUGAUAUGAGCACGCUGUUUGGUUCCUGAAUUCAACACCAUUGAUUAGUAGUAAGUAAAGCCCUGGAUAAUAAGCAACAUUAUGAAAGACUUUGUUUGAACUGUCUUGAUUUUCAUCUUAAGUUUGUGAAGUUGUAUGCGUGUUAAAUUCUGUUAUUGACCAUGAAAAUUUCAUUCUUAGUGUGCUCUUACCUUGAUGGGCAGAAAGUUACAAUGUAUUCUGGGGCAUUGCAGGUGAGAAUACUCGUAGGAUCAUCGAAUGCAUAGCUAUAUGCCACAGGGCAGGCCUGUUUGAAACUCCUGGAAUAGUUUGUAGCAACACAUGAUAUAGGAUUUCCAUACGCACCUCGACAACAGUACUGAUCAGUGUUGAAUGCUUCGCAUGCGCUUUUACAAGCUAUGAUCUUCCCAUCUGUUUUAAGGGCUAGCUCGCUUGGGCAUUUUUGCCUCAAGUCUGCAUCACAACCAGCAACGCUGCAGUUUACGGUACCUUUCAUGGGGGUGAUUGUAAUGGGCAGGUUGAAUCCAUCAACAAGGCUGACAUCGUAGUAGUCAAUAUCACCAAGGUUGAACUCAGCAAUUGAAGCAGGAGGUUUUCCAGGGCUUGUACAGUUGAGGGUAGUGCCACAGGCACCAGUUUGGCAUUUUCCACUGCCAUUCUUGUCAAAGCUGCAACCUGUUCGGCCCCAUAUCCGGCCACCCCACACAUCGGCAGCAGUGAAAAUGGCUGAUUGGCCUGGUUUGAGUGCAAAACCACCACCAUGGAAGUUGAGACCAGGUGUUAUUAUUCCAGGCCAUACUGUCUCAUUGCAGUCAUUCACAAUGGUGAAGGUGGUUGCACUUUCACACAAUUUUCCUCCUACAUAUACAAAGCAUGAGAUAUGGGACGGUUAGUAAAGGAAAAACAAAAACCAUGGAAAAUGGAUAAAAACAAGACAUUUCAACAUGACAACCAGUUAAGAAACAGGAGAGGAGAAAGAGAAAAUGGUACCUAAUAGAAUAAAAAUGGCAAUGAGGAAAAGAGAGGUGAGGAGAUCAAAAUGACAAGCCAUCUCUGUGUGUGAAGAAGAAGGGAGAUGGGAGCAUAGGUGUUUAGAAGAGUAUUAUUGUGUGUACACAUAUAUGAGGAGAGUGGGGAAGAAUACGUGCAGGAGUGAGUGAAUCCAGAAGCAGUGGUGGCCUGAACUUACACUAUAAAAGGCUUUUUAAGCUUCCUUACUUGCAUUUGCAAAUGAUUCCCAUACCCUUCUUAGUUUAUUAGCAGCUCUAGCUUUUCUGUCCCCCCUCCUCUUUACCCACUUCAGUUGCCCCUGAUUGUGCUCUUUUAGCUCACCAUAGCUGUAUCAUGCCCUGGAGCCCCCUGAUAUGCUACUCUUAAGAGGUAGCUUGGUUAUACCAGAGAGUUGGUUUGGUUAAGUUGAUCCAGGUAUGAGGUAAUUUGGUUCACUUGCUCUCAAAUGUGGCCACUAUGGUAACCAUUUAGAUUUGAUUUUUCAAAAUUGUAGGUGCCAUAUUUUCAAAAUAAUUUUAACAUAAUGAAAGUUUAAGAUCUGUUCUGUCAUACAACUACCUAUCCUCUUCAUUUUAGUCUAAAGUUUACCAAUUUUAAGUUUUUAUGACUUAUUUUAAUUAUAUUUAGAUUUAUCGAUCUACACAAGAAUUUCAGUCGUAUGGAGACAUAAUUGAUUUAUGUGGAAAAUCACUUAUGAAGUCUUUCUCAACUUUAUGAAGGUUAAAAAUCAUGGGGACAAAGAUCGCAACAAUAUGAUCCACUAAAUUUGAGGGAAUGUGAAUCUUUGUUAAGAACUAAAAAAUAAAAGUGAACACCUUUGAGAGUUAUGGGUUAAGCAUAGAAAAUAAUAAUAUAAAGCUUAAGCAUAUGAGCUCCCGAGAGAAUUGGAAAAAUCUUAGUGAAUUUUGACUUGAUUUAAAAAUUAUAUUUUACCUAAAAUCAAUUUAGAAAAAUUAUAAAAUUUUGAAAAAAAAAAUUGAAAUUGGAAAAAAUUGUUUUUUAAAUUAAAAAAAAGGCUUAAAUAUUUUCUUUUAAAAAAAUUUCAAUUUAAAUUUGCUUCCAUAUCUCUUUUAGUCUCUAUUUUCAUGUGUUCUCAAGUAAUUCAUUAAUACUUGCCCGUUUAAUUCGAGUUGAUUCUAGUGUAAAUCAUAGGAAAGUAUGGAAAGUUCUAGGGGAUGAAUGAAACAAAAGUGUAAAUUAAUCUAAAAUACCUAAUGCACUAAUAAAUUUAGUUACAAAGGUAAUAUAUCUUCAACAUACUACCAUGAUCGGUGGGAAAAAAGUAAGGUACCUAUUGAAUUUGGAAUCUAGACCAUUGAAAACAUACCAUAAAAAAUAUUCAAGAUUAAAGUAUAAAGAAAUGAGAUUAAAAUAUAAGAAAAAAGAUAAAGAAUUAUUAACAAAUAAGACCAAGAUACAAUGAGAUGAAACCAAGAUAUGAAAUAAUAAAAUUUCGUAUGUGGUAUAUAAAUAAAUGAAAUUUGGAUAUGAGAUAAUGAAACCCGAGUUAUAUAUAUGAUAUUAUUUUGAUUAAUGAUAUAUUUUCAAUGGGCAUUGAAAAAAUGUACUUAACUCGGACUAGCUUGUGUCAUCUAUUUAUUCCCUAAAUUUUAUUUAUACUUUUAUCCUUUUUCAAUUUAGUCCCUACAUAUAUAUAUAUAUAUAUAUAUAUAUAUAUAUAUAUAUAUAUAUAUAUAUAUUUAUUUAUUUAUUUAUUUUCUCAAGGAAUGUGAUUCUUACGUUAAAUAGAGAUUAAAAGGAAUAAAAAACUUGGACAAAAUCAGGACCCUUUAGCCUUCUCCUGGCCAAUCACUACCGUCUGAUGCCCAGACAAUAAACAAAUUCCAACAAAAACUACAAAAUCAAGACCCUUUAGCUUUCUCCUCCUUCUUCCUCCGGGCAUAGUUCCUGAAAUGAAAGUCAAGAAAGAGACCCAAAAGAGAAGCGUUGAAAACCGCAUUAAAGCACCAACCCCAGAUCCCAGAGCACCCUAUUCCACUAAAAUGGUAGUACAGCAUCAAACCCGAAACAGCAAAACUGAACAUGAACUGCACAAUCUGAACGUCUGUCACCACGCGCUUCCACCGUGGACGCCACCCUAGUGUGCAGGAUAAGUAGUAGGUGUACAUUAGCACGUGGACGCUCGCAUUGGUGACGAGCGCCACCGGCAUCAGAGACUGCGAGGUGUGGAGCCAUAUAUAGCACAUGAUGAGGACGACGGUGUGGUGGUAGACGUGGAGGAAGGACAGCCGUUUGAUGCUCCCACUAAGGAUGAUCAAGAAGGUGUCAAUAAAUUCAACGAUUUUCGAGAGGUAGAAGACGUAGGCCCAGAAGAAGGUGGGCCCGGAGGGAGGGGUGUCGGGUGGGAAGCAGAAGAUCCAACGGGUAUCGGGGGUUUGGGAGGCUGCGGAGAGGGAGCAUCCGACGACCAUCGCAAGGGAAAGGAGGAGGAGGAGGAGGUUGUGGGCGGCGGAGAUGGGGCGGAGGAGGAGGGGGUGGAGGGUGGGGAUUUGGGAGUGGGAGAGAAGGUAAGUGAGGGUGAGAUAGCAGAAGAUGGUGAGGGUCAGGAAUUGGGUGGAGGCGCCCCAAGUGUGGCCUUGUUUCCACUCGAAGUUGGCCAGCGUUGGGUGGUCAACGAGGUAAUGGUGGAGGCUGUCCAUCGCGUGGGAGCGCGCGCCUCCGUGGGGAAGAGGGGCAGUGGUGGAUGGAUGAGGUUUGAGAGGUAGCAGCAGUCUCGAAAUGGAGAGGGGGGUUGAAGGUAUUAACUUCAUUUGUUUUUGCCAUUUUGGGGAGAGUAUGGGCUGGACCAUUUUUAAGCCCAAAACAAAUCGGGGAGAGUAUGGGGUGAACCAUUCUUAAGCCCAAGAGAACCCUUUAUUGAGGCCCUUUAAUUCCAUUUUUCAAUCUAUGAUAAAGGGUUGGUCUUUACCAUGGAAAUCAAGGAUUUUUGACAAAUUUAUAGUAAAUUAAAAAAAAAUCAUUUUUGAAAAGUAAUGGUUUUAAAAUUAUUGAUAAAAUUAUAAUACUUUAUGUCACAUAAGCUUCAUAAAUGCGUCAUAUUACAACUUGUUUUUAAACGUGUCUUGAAGACAUAAUUUCAUGCAUCAUUGUGAAGUCGUGUUUUAAAGACACAAUUAUAUUAUUUUGAAGUCAUGUUUUGAAGACUUCACUUCAUUUUUUUUUUGCUUAUAUCUACCUUUUUUUUAUAUUAUAUUUUUUAUGUAAAUGAAUUUAUUUCCUUUUCAUGUUUUAUUUUUAUUUUUAUUGCUUUUCCCAUCUUUAUCAAAGCUAUGUAUUAUUAUUUUUCGAUUUGAAUGUAUCUUAAUAAAAUCUUCAAUAUUUUUCUAUUGAAAUCGUUUCUUGAAAGCACGAUUUUAGUAAAAUGUAAUCAAAUUGUGUUUUCAAGUUUUAGGAAUAAAAUUUUGCUUGAGAACUCCAAUAUGAUUUUUUUUCUCAACUCAUUCUCAAUGAAGACAUUGUACACUUAUGUAUGAUGUAAGAGUUUUCAAAAUAUUUUAUUUAUUUAUUUUUUAAUUGUGGCUCAAAACACUUAACAAAAAAUAACUAAAAAAAAAAUCUAAAUUUUGUUUUAAAAAAUAAGCUAUUAAUUUUCAAAAUAAAUUAUGGAAGAACUAUUUUUAUCAAAAGUUUGUCAAAUAGUUCUGAUUAUGUUCUAACAAGAAUAGAAAACGAAAACCAUUUUUAAGAAUAGUUACUAAAUAGGAUUUUAGUUAUUAUAUUAGUGCAAAAUAUUUUCCACUUAUCAAUGACAAUCACAUAAAAUCUUUUAUCAAAUUCAAGAAGCUCGAUUUUGUAUUAUAUUAUUCCAUUCAAUAUGUUAUUAGAAAUCAUCUUCAAAUCUUCAAAGCAACAUGACACUAAGUUAAUCUCAUAUGUUCGUCCAUGGUGCCCAAAAACUUGAUAUUGGAUCAAUUGUAUAUCCUAUUCAUUUUCAUUUGUCAACUAUGUUUUCAUAUGCAUGUUUGAAAUGAGUCAUAGCUAACAACUUGAAAAAUCCCACUAGUAUUGUUCACUUAUGGAGAAGAACCUUGCUAGAAUCAAACCCUCUUUCUUAAAGUUUCUAAUGAUAUAUUUUUAUUAAUUCUUGAGAUUAUGUUUGGUUUUUUGGAAAAUUUAAGGGAAAAUGCAAAGGAAAGAAAAUAAGGAGGAAAAAUAGAUAGAAAAAAGAAGAAGAAUUAAAGUUAAUAAAUUAUUUUUAUAUAUUACUUCAAAUGAUUUUGCACAUUCUAACUAUUAAUUAAUAAAUUAUAUUUAUAUGCUACUUCAAAUCAUUUCAUGUAUUUUAACUAUUGGAUAUAAAAAUAAAAUAAUUUGAAAAUGCUUGAGUUUUUAACUAAUUUUAAUUAUAUUUGAAUUCUUUUAAUAUUUUUCAUAAUAAAAUCAAAUAUGAAAAAACAUAUUUUUUCACAAUAUUUUUUUCUUUAUUUAAUAUUUUUUUGGAACCAAAGAUGGUGCAAGGGUUUUUUCAAAUGAGACUCAAUAAAUAAAUAUCCUUGUUUUUGGGGGGGAAAACCAUUAAAAAAAAUUGCAUGUCAUGCCUUUGAAUUUAUUAAAGAAGCAACUCAACUAGUCAAAUCGAAAAACUUAUAAGUAUUUCAAUUAUAGUUAUAUUGCUUCAUAUAAUUUAACAAGAAUGAACCCAUAUGUAAUAAUAUAAUUAUAAGUUGUAACCCCUCAAGGUGUAAAUAAAAAAUUGUUAUAUGCUUUCUCUUCAUGAUUUAAGUUAAAAAAAAAAAAAUGCUAUAUAUUCUUAAAUAUAUUUUUUUUUAUUUAUAAAACCCAUGUAUAAGAAAGAUUCACAAUCAAGAGUAACAUAAGCCUACUAUUUGGACGUAAUAUUUCAUAUUAUACAAUCUUUUUAUGAAAAAUAGAAUUUCUUGGGCAAGGUUUAUAUUUUUAUCUAGAUUUAAAUAGAGCAGCAUAUUAAUUAUAGACAUGACAUAAAAUAUGAGUUUUUUUUCAUAAAUUAAUUUGUAAUUAAAAAAGAGUAUAUUGUAGUAAAAAAGUUUUUUCCACGAAAAUUUAUUUGUGGUAAGUUUGUUGCUAUAAGUUCAUGAGCAAUUAUUUUUAACAAUAAAAAAUAAAGUUUGUAGCUAAAAGGCAAAAUUAUUGGCAUAAAUUUGUGGUAGCAUAUUACUCAACAAAGCAAAUUCAUAGCAAAAGUUGAUUUUUUCCAUGAAAAAAGGGCAAAAGGUCACUUUUGAUAUAUACGAGUUUUUUUUCCACUUUGAAGUAUUAUUUAAAUUUUCUUUUAUCUUACAAUUAUUACUAACUAUUAGCCUUAGGGUUCUCCUAAGUGAGUUUUGAUGAUAAAAAAUCAUGGUUAGUAUGCUAAGAGUUAAAAUCGAGAUAAGUUUCAGGUACUAAUCGAGAAAGUCAAAUGAGAAAUCAGGUUAAUCAUCAAAGGAUCUAAUGAAAGUAAUAUCAAGGGUGCAUGAAGGCUAUUCAAGCUUAGAAACUUAAUGUAAGGUGAAUAUUUGGGUGCUCUUAGGAAUUUUAUUUUAUUCAUGCAUCAUUUUGAUAACCGAGUUAAGUUUUGAAUUAAUUUUAUUCAAACUCAAGUAUAUGUUUAAGAAACCUUAGGCAAAAUCACUUAAACUUGACUAAGGUACCUAAAGACCUUGCCUAAGUGUUAAAGGAAAAUUGGAGUGAAAAAGAUUGUUUUCAAAGCUGAAAAAGUCCAAUUGAUUGAGGGUAGAACUGAAUCGACUCAAAUGGUUGGGAAUUGAUCGAAUUGGUUGCCUUUUCCUAGUUGAGGACCGAUCAAGGGUGUACAUUUCCUUCUAUUUCUUUUAUAAGGGCUCCCAAUAAAGGGAAACCCUUUCUUAGUUGAAGGUAACCCCUUCCUGAUUGAGGUCCGAUCGAACCCCUAACGCCAUGCAUUAAUUACAUAACAACUAGUCAACUGGUCUAUUGGAGCUUGAUCGGGAAAGGCUAGUUGGUACAAUUUUUGGUGUCCAAGGUUGGAAACCUAUAAAUAGAGGGUUGUUAUUUAGUUGUUGAUAAGAGAACACCUGCAUUAAGCUUCUUACCUACCUAUUUCUCUCAUUCAAAGCCCUCAUUCUCUCUUUGGUGCAUUAAACUCACACUUGCAAAUCAUUCUUACCUCACCCUUGUGUUUUUCCUAAUUUCUUUGCAUUUAUUCAUUAAUUGUGUUAGGAUUAAGUGAUCUUAAAGCCUCAUUUAUUGAAUUAAUGUUAAGUCCUAGAGCUUCAAGUUGGGAACAAACUUGAUGAGUUACUUGGAACACCUAUAAGAGUCGGUGAAUCCAAUUGUAAGAACUUGGAAGCUUGGUUGAAAGCUUCACAUUAGUGGAACCCUUACUCAAAAGGAGCUUGAGGAGAGAUGACGUAGGUAGGAUCGGACCACUAUAAACCCAUGCUUGUAAUCUCUCUUACUCUUAUCUCUUUAAAUUUAUUGCAUUUUUAUUUAUGGAUUAAGGGUAUUUUUGAAAAAGUUUUAAAACCCAAUUCAACUCCCCCUCCCCCCUUUCCCCAUUUGAGUGGUUUCGCUUAAUUAAAUUGGUCUCUGUUUCACAAUUGGUAUCAAAGCUAGACCUUUUUCUAAAGAUUUAAGAAUUGAAGAAGAUAUGACUAAUCCAUUAAGCUCACACCAUUUGAAAGGUUUUGUAACUAACCAACCCCCAUUCUUUAUGAGAACUGAUUAUCCCUAUUGGAAAACUAAAAUAACUCAUUUUUUACAAUCUAUUGAUCUUAACCUUUAGGAUGUUAUUGAAUAAGGUCUCACUAUUCCUUCAAAACUUGUAAAUGGAGUGAUGGUUCCAAAAAAUAAGCAAGAAUAUAAUGAACAUGAUAGAAGAAAUGUUUAAUUAAAUGCUACAACCAUUUGCUUUUUGCAAUGUGCUAUUGACAUGAAUGAAUAUAAUCAUGUUUGUUGAUGUAAAUUGGCCAAUGAAAUUUGGAGAUUACUUGAAGUAACUCAUGAGGGAACUAAUCAAGUAAAAGAAUCAAAGAUAAAUAAACUUGUUCAUGGCUAUGAAUUGUUUGCUAUGAAAGAUAAUGAACUUAUUGUUAAGAUGUUUACUAGGUUCAUUGACAUUAUCAUUGGUCUUAAGCCUUGGGAAAGACCUACAAAAAAUAAGAGAAAGUGAUGAAGAUCUUAAGGUCCUUUCCAAAGAAAUGGGAAAUAAAGGUCAUUACAAUUCAAGAAGCCAAGGACUUAACCAAGCUACCAUUGGAGGAGUUAAUUGGAUCAUUGAUGACACAAGAAAUUACCAUGACAAGUCAUCAAGAUGUUGAAGAUAAGAAGAAGAAAAGCAUAGCUCUCAAAGUCUCAACAAAUGAUAAGGAGGAAGUUGAAGAAGAAAUAAAUGAAAAUGAAGAAGAUGGAGACUUAGCCCUUAUCAUAAGAAAGUUCAAGAAAUUUAUGAAGGGUGAGAAAUUUAAAGGAAGGAGAUUCACCUCAAGAAAGGAAUCUCAAAAGAAGGAAGCUUCAUUAAAUGUGGACAAAGAGAAGAAUGAUAUAAUAUGCUACAAGUGCAAGAAACCGAGACACAUCAAAUAUGAUUGCCCUCUCUAUAAGAGUAAAGCAAAGAAAGGAAAGAAUAAGGCUAUGGUAGCCACAUGAAGUGAUAGUCAAGAAGACUUAUUCGAAAAAGAAAAGGAGAAGAAAGUGGCAACAUGUGCUUUAUGGCCAUUGAUGAACUUAAUGAGGUAAAUUCAAACAUUAGCUUUGAUAAUUUACAAGAUGCAUGCCUUUGAGGAUUUGUAUGAAGACCUUGAAAAUCUUGGUUUGAAAAAAAAAAUGUCUCUCAAAAAGAAAAUUCAAAAACCUGAAAAAGAACUUGAAAAGGUGCAAGAAAAGUUUUCAAAUGUUGAAAAUGCCAAAACUUCUUUUGAAAAAGAGAAUGACAUUUUGAAAAAGAAUAAUGAAUGGUUAACCUCUUCACUCUUUAUUUUCUCUUGGGUCAAAAGUCUUUUGAUAUGAUACUUGCUAGCUAAAAAUAAAUUUUUGAUAAAAUAAGGGUUAGGGCAUAAAUCUUCUAAGAAUCAAAAGUAUUUCGAAAAUUACUUUAUGAAAGAAUCAACUAGUCCAAGUCUUUCCACCAUUUGCAACUUUAGUGGAAGAGGAGGGACACAUUAGUAGUACUUACCCUCUUAAAAAUGAUUCUCAAAAGGUUUCUACUUAAAAAAUUAAGAAAAUUUAGGUUGAAAAAUAAAAUGUUACUAACCCCCAACAACCUAAAAAGAUAUGGGUACCUAAAUCUAUUUAAGUUAUACUUGUAAGGCUUAAAAAAGGACAAAUGGUUCUUAGAUAGUGAAUGCUAAAAAAACAUGAUUAAAGAUGAGUCUAUGUUUGCAUUUCUCAUUAAGAAGAAGGGUGACUUUGUGACAUUUGGAGACAACGCUAAAGAAAGGAUCAUUGGGCUAAAGAAGACAAACACUUCUUCUCUUAUUAAAAAUGUGUUAAUAGUUGAUGGUUUAAAGCAUAACCUCUUAAGUAUUAGUUAACUAUGUGACAAAGGUUUUAAAGUGAUUUUUGAAGUAUUUCAUUGCAUCAUCAAAGACAUUCAAAAUGACAAAGCCAUCUUCAUGAGCCAUAGAAGUGAAAAUGUUUAUACAAUUGAUAUUAAAAAAUAUGAUAACCAUGAUAAAUGUUUUUCAAGUAUGCAUGAUCAAAAUUUGUUGUGGCAUAGGAGGUUGAGAUAUACUAAUAUGGACAUCAUCUCACACCUCAACAAAAAUGAACUUGUUAGAGACAUUUUCAAAAUUAAUUUCCAGAAAGACAAAGUUUGUGAAGCAUGUCAAGUGGAAAAACACAUAAAAAACUUUUAAAAACAAAAAUUUCAUUUCCACAUCAGGACCUUUAAAAUUAUUGUAUAUGAGUCUUUUUGGGUCCCUCUAGGACACCAAGUCUUGGUGAAAAAUAUUAUGUCUAUGUUACUGUGGAUGAUUUCUCUAGGUACACAUGUGUCAUGUUUGAAUUUUAGGCAUUUUCAAAGUUUUGUAAAAAGGUUCAAAAUGAAAAAGAUUUUUCAAUCACUUGUAUAAGAAGUGAUCAUAGGAGAGAAUUUGAAAACAUUGAUUUUGAAUUUAUUACAAUGAGCAUGGAAUUGACCAUAACUUUUCAACUCCUAAAACUCUUCAACAAAAUGGGUAGUUGAAAGGAAAAAUAGAAAUCUACAAGAAAUGACAAGAACCAUGCUAAAUGAAAAUGAUCGACAAAAAUAUUUUUGGGCUGAAACGAUUAACACUUCUUGAUAUGUUUUAAAUAUAGUUUUGUUAAGGCCCAUCCUCAAGAAAACUCCUUAUAAGUUUUCAAAAAACAAGAAACCUAAUAUUGACUAUUUCAAAGUCUUUGGUUUCAAAUGUUUUAUUUUAAGCACCAAAGAUAACCUUGGAAAUUUAACGCAAAAUCCAAUGUUAGAAUUUUCCUUGGUGACUUACUUUCAAGUAAAGCUUUUAGAGUUUUUAACAAAAAAAACCAUGGUAGUAGAGGAGUCCAUCUAUGUUAUUUUUAUGAAUCUAAUAAUACUCUUCAAGAAAUAUCUAGUGUUGAUGAUUUAUGUAAUGCCCCAAACCCAAUUUAGGGGUAAAAUCUUAAUUUAUAAAUUAUUAAUUAAUUAAAGUAAUUUAAUAAGGGUAAAAAAGUCUUUUUGUAUUUAAAACCCCUAGAUAUAAAUUAGAUUUUUCUUACAUUCUCUAUUCAAAAAACCCUUUUACACAAAGAUCAGAAAGAUUAGAGAGCAUAAGGCUCAAGAUUUGGAGGUUUAAGGUUUGAAGAUCAAUUUUUCAGGUAAGAUUUUUAAUCUUUAAAUUAAUAUUUUAUAUUCGUUAAUUAGUUUUGAACACUUUAUAUAUUCUUUGGAAUAUUUCAAUUUUAAUUAGAGUUCGUUUAAUUAAUUUAUAGGUCAAAAAGAUUAAAAAUUUAUGAACAUAGUUUGAUUUAUCAAUGGAGAUCGAUAGAUUUUGAUUACUCAAAUGAAUGGAUCUAAGAAAAAAAUAAAUAAAUAAAAUAAGAGUAGCGUGAUUUUCUGUGAAGAGAAAAUAAUAAUAAUAAUAAUAAUAAUAAUAAUAAUAAUAAUAAUAAUAAUAAUAAUAAUAAUAAUAAUAAUAAUAAUAAUAAUAAUGUAGAUGUGUGUCGUGUAGUAGAGGGUUUAAAAGAAAAAAAAAUAAGGAUGCGUGUGGAUAUCUAGGAAGAAAGAAACAAAAAAAGAAAAAAAAAGUGUUAUUAUUAUAAUAAUAAUAAUAAUGGGUGUAGUUGGUGGCUUGGAGUAAUGGUGUUAGUUGGUGGCUUGGAGUAAUGGUGUUGCUGGUCUUUAAAAGUAAUAAUAUAUCUAUAUAUAUAUAUAUAUAUAUAUAUAUAUAAUGGGGUGUGGGGGUGGAAUUGUGGUUAAGUGACAGUUGGAUUAUGAGAACAAUAAUAAUAAUAAUAAUAGUCUAUUGUAUAGGUUUUAAUUUAAUUUAAGUAUAUAAAGAAAUAAAUAGGGAGGGUAAGAUUAGGAAAGAAAAUGAAUUUUACAAUAAUUUGGAAACUAAGUAAAUUAAUUUAUUAUUGUUUAGUAAGUUGAAAAUAAUAUUGGGUAGUAAUAAUAUUAGCAUGAGAAAUUAAUUAUGAUCCUUAAUACUAAAUAAAAUAUUUUUAGGAUUGCCAAUUUUUUACCUUUAAAUAAUUGUGUAUGAUAUUAUGUUAGGUGAUGAGUAAAUUCAUCAAGCUAAAUACUUCAAGUUUUUGAGCGUUUCUUCAAGGUAAGGGAAAUUAAUGCAGAUUUUUAUAAAAGAAAAUAAUUUUUUUUUUAUAUUAUAUUUUGAAAUGUGUAAAAAUGUUAUUUUUAUCUUUACUCAUGGAUCAAAUAUGUGUUUUGUAUGGAAAGUAUAUUUGAAAAUUUUCUUUGUUUAUGAAAAAUGAAAAUUUUUGGAGAUAUGAUAUUUUGUUUUACAAGUUUGAAUUAAUGAAAUAAAGUGUUUGACUCUAGUUCCUAUGGCCCUAGUCAACAUGAUAUAAUUGUUGACAUUUCUAUGGCCUUAGUUAAUGAGUUAUAAUUUUUUACAUAUUCGGCCCUAAUAAAUGAGUUAUAGUAGUUGAUAUUAUAUGACCCUAGUCAAUGGGUUAUAAUUGUUGACCUUAUGACCCUAGUCAACGAGUUAUAAUAGUUGACCUUAUGACCCUAGUCAAUGGGUUAUAAUUGUUGACAUUUGGUUUUGUUCACCUUAAAUGCGAUAAAUUUGAAACUAGUAACUCAUUGUGAAGUCCCACCUAAUUGGGCAUCAUUUGUUAUACGAUAACCAGAGUAAAGAUAUUUUGAAUGUAUUCGAUUUGGUUUUGAUGAGAAAUUGUUUUAAAAUGGAUAUGAGAAAGUUUUGUUAAAAAGUUUGAAUGUAUUAGUAUUUUGAACUCAAAAGUUUUUAUGAAAAUAAGUAUAUGUUAUAUCUCCUAUUUACAAGCAUGAUUGAAAAUGUUAGAUCCAUGAAACUGUAUUAAUGUUCUUUAUUGGGCUUUGAGCUCAUCCCCCUUUGUUGAUAAUCUUUUAGGUAACCUCAAUUUGGGCGAGGAGUGACCGUUAGGAGGGAAAUUUGGCUUUAUUAGGAUAUUUGUUUAAGCUCUCUUUAUUUUGGAAAUUGUUUAGAUGUUAAAACUUAAUUCUCGUUUGAAUUAUUUUGAGUUUGGAGUUAUUUGGACAAUAACACUUUGGUUAAUGUAUUAGUUUUUUUUUUUUUUAAAGUUGAUACUUGGAGAUUUUAGAAUUUUUUCAUACUACUCUGAAUAGGAAUUUGGUAAUUGGUAAAUUUCCAGUUACAAUACGAAUGUUUGUGUUAUUUCCACUUUAAGCCUUUGGGCUUGAGGUGUGAAAUGACCGUCAUGCCCUUAGAGUGGGUUUUGAGGUGUGACAAUUUAGGUUUGGAGGACUACAUGGGAAGAUUGUAAAUUGAAGAUGGAAGACAAUAAGAAAAUAUGAGGCUGAUCCAAAGAAAGAAAGGUCACCUUUAACACUUCCCCCACUUCAACAGGCGAAAGGUGAAUCAAGUCAAGACUUUCUAAGGGAUUAAAAGUUUGUCAUGAGCCACCCAGAAAACCAAAUCCUAGGUAAUCCAUCUAGUGGGUUAAGGACUAGAUCUUCUAUUAGAAAUAUUUGUAAUAAUUUAGCUUUAAUUUUUCAAAUUGAACCUAAGAACAUAAAUAAUGCUAUAGUUGAUGAAAAUUGGAUGAUUGUCAUGUAAGAAGAAUUUAAUCAAUUUGAAAGAAAUGAAGUAUGAGAAUUAACACCUAGACUUACUAAUCAAACUAUUAUUGGUGCUAAGGGUUUUAGAAAUAAGAUGGAUGAAAAUGACAUAAUUGUUAGGAACAAAACUAAGUUAGUAGCCCAAAGGUUUAAUUAAGAAAAAGUCAUAGAUUAUGAAGAAACCUUUGCCUCCAUAGCUAGACUACUAGCCAUUAGGAUGCUACUAGCAUUUGCAUGUUUUAAAGAUUUAUUUUAUAUCAAAUAUAUGUGAAAAGUGUUUUCUUAAAUGAUUUUAUAAUGGAAGAAGUUUAUGUGAACAAUGAACAAACCACCUGGUUUUACAAGUUUUAACUUCCCUAAUCAUAUUUCAAACUUAAAAAGACACUUUAUGGAUUGAAACAAAUACCUAGAGUAUGGAAUGAAAGGUUAAGAAAAUUUCUUCUAGAUAAUGAUUUUAAAAUGGGCAUAAUUGAUACAACUCUUUUCAUUAAAACUGAAGAAAAUGAUAUGCUUAUUGUUCAAAUAUAUGUUGAUGAUAUUAUAUACGGUGCUAUUAAUGUUUCACUUUGUGAAGAGUUUGUUAAGUGUAUGCAUGGUGAAUUUGAGGUGAGCGUGAUAAGAAAGCUCAACUACUUCUUUGGACUUCAAAUCAAAUAACUAAAAGAAGACACCUUCAUCAACCAAGACAAAUACAUUAGAGAUCUUUUCAAAAGAUUCAAGAUUGAGAAUGUAAAGGCAAUGGGAACUCCAAUGAGCUCAUCCAUUAAGCUUGAGAAGGAUAAACAAGGUAAAUCUAUUGACUCAACUAUGUAUAGAGGCAUGAUAGGCUCCUUAAUAUAUUUUACCACCAGUAAACAUGAUAUCACACUAACAUAACCACAUAUCAUGAUUAAAUUUCAAGUAUUACUAAUCUUUAACAUUAAUGUAACACUUCUAUAAAGUUCUAUUUUGAGUUGAUAGUUAUAUUUAGCUAAUAGAGGUAUGUAUAGGACUUUAAAAACUUUUUUUUCACUUUUUAUAGUUAGAUUAAACACUAAUGAUGGUGUUUCACCAAUUUUUCUUACUUUAUUUGCACCUAAUUUUUAUUUUCUCUCAAAUAACCUCCACUUAAAUGGGUGAAAUAUUUGUUAUUAUGAUUGAUUUUCAUUUCAUAAUCAUUUGGAAUGCUUUUCAAGAAGAUGAUAUAGAGAAAUAUGAGAAUUUUCAUUUAGGAAUCCAAAUGAAAUAAUUUUUACUUUGAUGAAUGUUAAUCGUGAGAUAAAUUACAUGUUUAUAGAUAUGUCACUCAUCCUGAGAUUUAAUUGUGGUGAUAAUUAAUUUAUAUUGGGUGUUGGUUUUAAUUGUUGUUGUUGUUGUUAGGCUUAUAAUCUCUUUAGCAAAGUUCUAUGUGAUGAUGGUUAAUAUAUGUGGUGCAUAAUACAUAGUUGAAAUCUAUGCCUAAAUGACAUUUAGAAGCAUUAACAUAUCAUUUUUUUAACUAAGGAAAAGAAAAGUAAAAUAAUGUGUGAAAAUGAAAAUGGAAAAUAAGUACUAAGGGCAAAUUCAAUCAAAGACACGGUUUUAUGGCAAGAGGUCAUGAAGGAUAUAUGGAGUGGGAUCCCUAAUAUAACCCAAGAAGACUCAUGAAGAGUGCGGCGCUAAGAUCCUUGUUUACCAUCUUAUGAAGACUCUAAAUAAAGAAUAUAGUAGAGCAUGGAUGUGUAUUCUUAGACGGAGACCAAAACAAAUUCUAGUGUGUGAAUGGAUGAGCAUUGAGUAUUAUUAUUGUGUGAAGAUAUAAAAUCAAGAGUAAGGAAGUAGGAUCCCUUAUAAGGACUUCCAAAUGAAGAGUAUUGUAUAGUGUAGAUGCAUAUCCUUUGACGAAAUACAAAACCAAAUUAAUAUGAUGAAUGAAUAGAUGAGCAUUCAGUAUUAUUACACUUUAUAAAGAUGCAAAAUGAUAUGUUGAGAUAUUUAAAUUUAAAGUAGUUAUUACUUGUCAAGUUUCAUUUUAAUGCAUGUAUCUUAUCAAUUUUAUUUAACUUUUCAUAUUUCCUUAUAUUAGUCCACUUAUGGACUAUAAUUGCAUGUUAUUUCUUUAAAGGUAUAGAUACCCUCAUUGAGUAUACAAGUGUAUGGUUUUAUGCUUAAAACUUUUCCCCUUUUAAUGUAAAUAUUACUAUAUAUGAGGAAUAUUCCUUAGGCAUGGGAACACUAAUGGACACUCAUGUGGUCUCGUAUUUUUCACGUGUGUCCUCACUCGAUGGUAAGACUCUCUUUUGAUUUUGAAAAAUUGUAUUUUAUGAAAAAUUAGAGUCACCACUUAUUUUUUUAAAGGAAAAAUAAAAUAAGAAACUAAAACCCUAAGAAAAUUACUCCUUAAACUUUUGGAAAAGCGUAUCUUUGAAAAACCUGAGUCUAGGUCUAGGGAUUAGGUUACCUAUCGGGAAGAUACCUUAAAAAGGUAGCACCCCUCUAAGCCCAAAAAAUAGGUCUCUACUGACUAGGUUGAUGAAAGCAUGACAAAUAAUCAAUAAAUCAGGAAUACCAAAGAAAACAAAGGUGAUCAAGUCUAAGGGCAAACAACAUGCUAUUCAUUGUAACAAAUGUGCCAAAGAAAUUAAUCACAAGAAAAAGGAAGAUAGGAGCAUACCUAAGUUGCAAUCCUAAGUGCUUUCAUGAAAACAUCAAAGUUAGUUUGACAAUAUAAUACAACGCCCAUUUCAUCUCAUUCAAAUAAUCAAGCACUAAUCAAAACAUACAAAACAAUAAUAUAUUUCAAAAUAUCCACAUUCAAAGUUUGCAUAUUACAGAAUUAAAGGAAUAAAAGGUGUGAGAGGCGUACUUGCGAGCAUGUACAAUUUAAAAUAUGCUUGCAUAUAGAUAGAAAGGGUUAGUUCACAAGUAAUAACAAAUAACUAUGACAAUAAACCCUAACAUACAAGGUAUAUAUACAACUCAAAUGACAUGGUAUGAAUAUAAAGAAACAACAACUAUCACGUAGGGCAUGCAUACAAGCUCAUUUUUAAAUUUAAACUAAUGCUCAAGAUAGCUGUAAGUAUUUAAAUUAGUAUCUAACAAAAACAUGUAGCAAGGGGAGGAACAAUUACAUUCACUUGAAAAAUCCUUAAAAAAAAAUUUAAAAACAUUAUUUUUCAUGGAAAAAAUCAAACAACAUCCUCAUUAUGUCCACAUUAGAGAAUAAAAACCAAAACCAAGUCAAAAUAUGCCAAACAACACUAGAUUAAAUAAUAAAGCAAGCACUGUACAAGAACUUCAGCAUGUAGUUAGAAUAAAAAGGUUCGCAAAAUAAAUCAUAAAAAAUAUCUAGAAAGUGAAUUUAAUUACAAAAAUUUCUAGGGAACCUCUUAUAUAUGUAUAGAUUAUCACAAAAAAUGCCGAACAAUUUAAUAAAGCUCCAAUUGAUUCUAGUUUACAAAAACAUCCCAAAAGGUUCAAACCAGGGUAGAAUUCAAUAGCAUGCAUAAAUUGAUUUUUUAAACUAACAUGGAAGUGCUAAAAAAUCAUAAAAAAAUCAAGCAAUAUGCUUAGAAUGUUUAUUUUACAAUAAAAAUAAAGACAGGGUUAGAAGAUAUACAUAUCAAUUUUAAAAACAAUCAAACAACCCUUUUAUUCAAGAUAAGUACAGAAAAACAAAAUUACAUAUUUCAAUUGGGAAAAUUAUUUUCAAUAUUUUAUAUGUUUAAAAUCAAUUUCAAGAAGUAUAGAAUUAGGAGAAAAUAUCAAAUAAAAUUUACAAAGUCAUCUAGUCAUUUAUUUUUAUAAAAAUAUUUUGGGUAUCCAAAACUGGGUGAAAACAUAACCCCCCCAAAGACACAUUUAUAUCUUCCAUUCCAUAAUUACUUUUUAACUUGAACAAAGUUCUAAAUUCAUAUUCAAGAUGUCUAUAAUAUCAUACAAUAGGUGGAAAUUUUUUAGAAACAUCAUAAAUAGAUCAAAUCGAAUAAGCUAACAAUAAAAGGUUUUUUUUUUGAAAAAUGAUUUUAUGUAAGGGUUCCACCAAUUUCCCAAUUGAUAUACAAAAAUCUAGCCUAUGGGUUCUCAUCUAUUUGGGACUACAAGCUUGGAUUCAUGUUUCACUCAAAACCAAAUUUUUAUUGAAAACAAAAGGGUGCAAACUGAAUGAGAUAUAGUUACAUAUUUUUUAAAAAAAGUAAAUUUUGAUUCUAAGGAUUCUAAAUGAAUUUUUAAAAUAGAUUUUCAAAGGGAUCUGUUGAGAAAAGUAUUUUCUUUUAAAAUAAAAGAAAUUAAUUUGAAAACAACACAUAAGAAAUAAAAUACCAAGCAAAACAAAAGAAAACAAAAUCACAAAGUAAAUUUUUUGACAACCAAGCAAAUUAAAGUGGAGAAAAUUGAGGCCAAUCUUCACUAUUUUUCGAUGGCCUUUGAAGAUUAAAUUUGAUAAAGAACUACCAAAGCAAUGACCUAUUAAUAUUUAGAUCAAAUAAACUAACGAGAUAUCCAUCAAUAAUUAAAAACUGGGAUUCAAGAAACACAUAAAUUGAGAAUAACAAUAAAAAACUAACAUAAGAUCAACAAAACACACAAACACAUCUAGACUAAAACAAAAUAAAUUAAAACUAAACUAAGUCAGAAUUAAAAACAUAAACUUUAUCUAAUAGGAUUAAUUAAACUAUUGAUUAAAAUCACAAACACAUCUAAACAAAUUAAAAUAAAACUAAAUCGAAAUCAUAAACGUGAGCUUUAUCUAAUAGGAUUAAUUAAACUAUUGAAUUAAAAAUCACAAAUACAUCUAAACUAACAAAUAAACUAAAACUAAACUAAAUUAAAAUUACAAAUGUGAACUUUAUCUAAUGGGAUUAAUUAAACUAAUGAAUUCAAAACACUAAAACAUUUAAACUAAAAGAUAGAUUAAAACUAAACUAAUUUGGAAUUAAAAAUAUAAACUUCAUCUAAUAGGAUUAUUUAAAUUCAUGAAUUAAAACCGCAAACACACUUAAACUAAAAGAUAGGUUAAAACUAAACUAAUUUAGAAUUAAAAAAACAUUAACUUUAUAUUACAGGAUCAAUUAAACUAAUUACCUAAAACUUCGAAAAACACACGAAUUGAAAUAAGCCAAACAAGAAUCAAAGUUAACAUACUUAAAAAGUGAAUAAAACAACUUUGGGUCAACUAGACUAACUUAUUAAAAUUUCUAAAAAAAAAAAAAAAAAAAUUAAAAUUGUAUCAAUUAAGAAUUAAAGUUAACAAGUAACCUAACCUUCAAUCCAAUAUUUAUGAAUCAAAACUAAUAAGAAAAACUCUAACUUUCAAUCUAGUUAAAAAAAUUAAUCCAAACUUAAUACAUAAAAAAUAAAAUAAACAAAGACUUUAACUUUUAAUCCUAAUUCAAAAUCAAAACUAAUUAAAAUAAUUAAAAACUCAAACUUUAAGCCUAACUUAAAAUAGAAACUAAUAAAUAAAAAAAACUUUAACUUUCAUUCUAAUUUAAAAUCAAAACUAAUAAAUAACAAACUUUAAUCUUCAACCUAGUUCAAAGUCAAAACUAAUAUAUAAAAAGAGAACUAACUUUCAAAUCAAUAAAAGAAUCAAAACCAAGACAAGAAAAGCUUUAACUCAACCUCCUUCACUAAUGGUGGAAAAUCCUCAAAACAUGCCGCCUUCCAAAGUGGAUGUGCGUGGAGUCUUUGCAUGCAUGCAAUGUGGCGGUUAUUUUCAGAAAGUGGCAGCUGUGGGGCGUCCCUCUCCACGUGUCCCUAUCAAGCGCAAGACCCCUUAGCCAUCUAGGAUAAAUAUGUAACCUAUCCAGGAUCAUUCCGUCCAGGCCAAGAUAAGUUCCGUUUAGCAUCAUAAAUGAGAGGGUUCCCUUCUUCCACAGGGCCAGAUGGAAUCAACAACCUAGACUCCCAAAUGGGAAGGACUGUCUAGUCAAGUCUUAAAGACCUCUUGCACGCGUGAUUAUUCACGCCUGACAUCUGAGCGGUCGAUCAUACUCCACUUAGCCCACAAGUCCAUGUCAAUUAAUUGCUGCACAUAAUCUUAGACGUUGACAGGCUAAAUAGACAGACAACGGCACGGUCCGAGAUCUUGGCACGUUAGUAGAUAACACCUACCAGCCGCCCUAAGAACAAUCAUCAUUACAGAAAGGGUUAGAGUGCAUAGUCAACAUUAUAGUGGCAGUGUCAUCAGCUCUAUAUAAACCCUCCAAAAAGCACGAACAAGGUACGAGCAUGCACAUAUGCUCACUCUUUCCCAAAAAAUAGUUAAAGCUACUCUUGUUCGACUUAAGCUUUGGAGGGGUGUGCCCAAACCACUUGUAAGGACAUCCUUUUGUGCAGGAAUGAAGCCCGUCUGGAUCCAGUACAACUAGACAGAUUCUUCAAGAGACACGAAGUAGGGAAGAAGUUCGCUUGACUUCAGUGAAACUAGAUGGACCUGACUCCAAUUAGCUUAGCUUCAACAUUGGCGUCGUUUGUGGGAAACUACUAAGGAUGUCAAAACCCUCCAGAAACUAAUCAUCAAUUAUGGGGAGCAAAGGUUACUUUGCUUGGCGUGAAAGUAUAGAAAGACGCUAGCGAGAGAAUGAUCAACAUAUGCAGUCUCUGCUCCGCCAAACUAGGCGACUCAAAGAAAAGAAUGAAGAGUUGCAUGUCCAAAUGUCAUCAGCGGGCUCCUCUCAAAGUCAAAAACCCCAAAGCCAGUGAAUAGUCUCAAGACGGACUGAUAAGACAUCUUUCCUUGGGAACGCAGAAUUCUAUUCUAGCAAUCACACAACACGAUCUGAGGAGGAGUUUUCGCCUGCUUUCCAAGUACAGCUGGACAAAGGCAUCGACUCUACCAUACUAUCAAUGAAGAAGAGGCGUGACAAAAGGUCAUGACUAUCAGAUGCGAUGCGAGCCCGAUUGGAACCUCAGACGCUAGGCGUAGAGGGAAAAUCGAGCAUGGUAGAAACCUUGGAGGCUCGUUUAGAUCUCUCAGCCACAACAAUUACGUCGGAGUGGCCUUCUCAUCCACUAAGACAGUGACAAGUAGGGGCGCCAACUGAUCGAGCUCCACCCGACUCUAUUAGUCGGUGGUUGGAUGACUUGCUCUCCACGUUGUUCGACCCUCAUAUUAUUAAUUAGGAACCAUCUCAGGGGUUCAUAGUGCCAAAAUUCAUGACAUACGACGAAAUAAGCGAUCCGUUUGAUCACAUCAUGCACUUUAGGCAACUUAUGACCCUUGAUAUAGGGAAUGAUACACUACUGUGCAAAGUCUUUCCAAUCAGCCUACACGACCAGACUCUCUCUUGGUUCCACCAUGUCCUGAAGAAUUUCGUGAACAAUUUUCGGGAUUUAUCGGAAGCCUUUGUGGGUCACUACUUAUGUUCAACUCGCCAUAAGCAGAACAUAAACACCCUACAAAACAUCAAGAUGCAAGAAAACGAGUUCCUCAGAGACUUCAUGAAUCGGUUUGAACAAGCUGUGCUCCAGGUGGAGUCUUACCACAUGGACACCAUCCUACAAAUCUUUCAGCAAAAAAUUUGUCUAGGCACACCAUUCUUUGAGUCUCUCGCAAAGAAGCCACCAACAAUGAUGGAUGACUUGUUCAGAUGAGCAAACAAGUACUCCAUGCUCGAGGCCAAUGUUUGGGCGGCUACUUAAUAGGUCUUGGUCACCAAUCGUUCGACCAAGCAGGAAGCUUUAAGCCCUCAAACCAAUCGAGGCAAGCUAACAAGAGGCGGGAUGGCCAGAAGCAGCAGAAUCAAGCGAGACUGACCCCCUUCAGUAUCAUAUAUGAGAAACUCCUCUUGAUAAUCUGCGAUCUGUUUGACUUCAGGUGGCCAAAGCCAAUCAUGAUAGAUCUGGCUAAGUAGGAUCGGAGCAGAAGGUGUGCCUAUCAUAAAGAUCAUGGCCAUACCACCGAACAAUGUAGGAGUCUCCACUACUUGGUGGAAAUUCUAAUCAGGGUUGAACACCUGAAACAAUAUGUUCGCACAACUAGCGGGCAAAGAGAGAUGACCUAAGACCUAGUCGUCCAAGCCCUCACAUUUUUAGCAGCUCCCAGAGUUGUCAUCAACUGCAUCCACGAAGGUCUCGUUGAUGAAAGAUACAAUUCUAAACAGAAAAAGUAGAGGUAGCUCCGUGCGACCUUUGUAAAAGAACAGGUCAGUUUCGUUCAACAUAACUUUUCGGAAGGAAGUAUGUGCCCUAUCAACGACACAAUUACCUUUCCCUCUAUAAAUGUUAGCCAAGUGUUGCAACCACACGAAGAUGCCCUAGUCCUAAUACUAGGAAUAAACGAGUUCAACAUGAGAAGGAUUCUGGUUGAUUCAGGUAGCUUAGCCGACCUCUUACAAAUGUUAGCCUACAAACAGAUGGGCUACUCACCAUUUGCCCUAGAGAGCCCAGGACGAUUAUUGUCUGAGUUCAAUGGAGCCAUGACGACUUCUCAGGGUGAUGUUAUGUUGCCAUUCCAAGCUGGUCCAGUCAUCUUGAAUGUACAAUUCUUGAUGGUAGAAGAUUUGUCUCCUUUCAAUGCCAUUGUGGGACUUGCAUGGCUUCAUAGAAUGAAGGUCGUUCACUCUAUGUACCAUUAGAUGGUGAGUUACCUCACUGAGGAGGGACAAAUCAAUUUCCUUGGUAGCCAACUAGCCACACACAAAUGCUCACAAGUGGCAUUAGAUUUCGGACAUUCAACCAAGGAAGAAGCACGUCCGGAAUCAUCAAACACGAGGGAGCAAUAGAAAUUACGGAGCCUGGCGGAGAAGGAUCCACCUACAACUAAUCCAUUCCAACCAUUGUACCUCUCACAUGGCACAAAUCAAAUCACCUAUACUAGCUCCCUACUCAUGUAUGAUGAAUUGGACCUGCUUGGAAGCAUGCUUUAGUGAAACAAAGACGUCUUCGCUUGGACUCACUCUAAUAUGCCGAGAAUCCAUCCAUUUGUGGCCUUUCACAAGCUCAAUGUCAUACCCUUCUCACGCCUCAUCUGACAAAAGGUUCGAUGUUUCCAUCCAAAUAGGCAGAGAAUCAUCCAGACGGAGAUUGACAAGUUGCUAGCAGCCGGAUUUAUCAGAGAAGUCAAGUAUUCGAACUGAUUAGCAAAUGUGGUGGUCGUUCCAAAGAAGAAUGGGAAGUGACGAGUUUGUAUUGAUUACACCAACCUGAAUGACACCUGCUCAAAGGAUAGUUUUCCCUUGGCUCGGAUAGAUUAGAUAGUCGACACCAUCGUCGAGCAUGAGAUGCUCUCUUUAUAGACGCUUUCUCCGGAUACCACCAAAUUCCCAUGUCCUAGCCGAAUGAGGAGAAGACAGUCUUUGUUACACCACAUGGGUUGUACUUUAUAAAGUUAUGCCGUUCGGGCUUAAGAAUGCCAAUGCUACUUAUCAAAGGCUAAUGACAAAGACCUUCAAGCCUUUGAUCGGUCGAACGAUGAAGGUCUACAUUGACGACAUUGUUGUAAAAAGCGGAACCCGAGCUGAACACGUCCAACACUUGGAAGAAACAUUUCGCCUGAUGCAGGCAUACAGCAUGAAGCUCAAUCUAGCUAAGUGUGUUUUUUGCAUCAGGGUGGGAAAGUUUCUAGGGUUUAUGGUGACCCAAAGAGGAAUUGAAGUUAAUAUAGAUCAAAUUAAAACUAUCCUUGAAACACUUGCCCCAAGUACCAAAAAGGAGUUGCAAUGCCUCACAGGCUGUCUAGCAGCUUUAGGGCAUUUCAUAACCGGUUUCAUAGACAAGUUGAGACAUUUCUUCCUCAUGCUUAGGGGAGCAAGCACAUUCGGCUGGACGGAUGAAUGCAGACAGACAUUUGAAAUAGUCAAGCUCUAACUCACUGAACCACCCAUUCUGAGCAGCCCCAAGUUUGGCGAACAACUCUAGUGUACUUGAUGCAUGAAUAUAUUUGUGGCCAUUAACAUAUGUUCAUGUUUCAAACUUUGUUAAGAAAAUGAGGCAUGUUCCUUUAAUAAUUUACUAGGCAUGAAAAGAGUUAUUUUAUAUAUCUUGACAUUAUUUUGGUAUGUAAAAUGCUAACAAACUCUAGGAUAUUUUUUACAUGGAGUUUAAAACUAACUUGUACUAUAUUAUUUUAUAUAUAUAUGUCUAUGAUAUGAUUUUGAAGCCUUUAUGAAAUUAUUGAUUCAAGCCUUGUAAGUCUAACAUAGAGAUAUGGUAUGUACAAUGUCAUUGCACUUUUAAAAUUAUGUGUGUAAUAAAUUUUGGGAAUCUCACAAGGAUUCUUUUGAUUUGCUAGUUUUUCAAUUUAGAAUGUGUAAAGAAUGUCAUUGGGUAACUUACCUUAAUUUGUAAACUGGCUUGGUUAUUUACAUUAUAUUAUUUUUUUUUAAAUUAAAAAACUAUACAAAACUAGGAGCUUCAUGCUAAUAAAGAGGCCUCAUGUGUGGGACACUAACAUUAUUGUUUUUAAACAUAGUAUUGUUGACAUUUCCAAUUAAUUAUUAACAUAUCAAGAGCCUAUAUGUACUCUUUAAAGAUAAUGUGGUUUCAAUCCCAUUACUUAAUCAAGCAUGCUUGUGUAGGUUAAAUUUGACUUAAAUUCAUUGAAUAUUUAUAACUUCAUAUUUUGACUCAUUAAUAUCUUCCUUUUAUUCUUGUUUCCUUUUUCUUUUGAAGCCUUAAGCAUAUACUUAAACAUUCUAAAAGAACUCACAAGGGAACAAAAUCCUAUUAUCUAUGAGUGCAAAUCUUUAUGUUCCAUUGCUAAAUCAUCAUAAGGAACCACUAGUGUCGCUAGAACAAUUAUUGAUACUAUAACAAAUUUCACAUUUUGCCACUAUAAUUUUAGCCACAAAUAAAUUUUUAUGGAAAAAAGAAGAUUUUUGCAACAAUUUUUAUUUUUAUGGCAAAAAAGUUUUUUUUUUUUUUAGAGAUGAAAUUUAUAUUCGUAGCAAAAUAUUAUAUUUAACCACAUCAUAUAUUUGUUGCAAAUAAUUUUCCAUAAGAUUUUGACCUAGUAUAACAUCUUUCAAGCUAAGCUUAAGCAAAAAGAGAUCAAACCCCUAGACAAGUACACUUAUCUCAUACGUGUACUUGGUUUUUGGAAAUGUUUUUGAAGGUGAUAUAGUUCAAUUUGAACCAAAUCAAUAUAAUGUCUAAUUUAAUAUAGGUAAUACAAGCAUAAUUCAAUCUUAUUUUUCUAAAUUUAAAUUAAGCUCAAGUUAAUCAGUUUAGCAUAAGAAGACUAGGUUAAUAAGUGAAUUAAAUUUGAGUAAAAUAAAAUCAUGUAUAAUAUAAUAAAUAAAUAAAUUUCUUUAAUGAAUUAAAUAAUAGUAUAAAAUAAAUACGGAUAUAAAUUAUAAUAUUAUAAAAAUAUUAAAUCAAGUUUACGUUAGGCUAGCUCGGAUCAUUCAAACCUUGACUUAAAUUUAACUUGAAUUAAUUCGGAUGGGAAAAUUUGAACUCAAGCCUUAUUCAUAUACUAAAAAUGAUUGGUUGAACCUGCUUUAAAAUUGCAUUAGAUUCAAUUUAGGUCAUACUAAUCCUUUCAAAUUGUAGCCUUACCUAUCACAUAUCAAUAUGGUGAAAAUGAUAAAAGAAAAAUUAUAGUGGUGCAAGCACCCUUUUUCUUACCCUAAUUAAUUAUCACCAUAGCAUAAUGUAAUAUAAUUAUUUUUUUUUAUAGAAUUUAAAAUAUUUAUUUUAUAUUUUUAUUUCAAUUAAUACCUAAACCCUAUUUUCUAAAAACCGUGGUAAAAACAAAAAUAAUGUUAUUCCACAAUUUUUGCAACUCACUUUAGCUUCAUAUAUAAUUUAAUGCAACAAUUCUAUUUUUCCUCAAAGUAUUGACACAUUAAUAUGACAAAUUUGAAAGAAAAAAAUCAUUAAAUUUACAUAUAAAUGCUUUGGGGCUAAGCUAACAUCCUAUUGGUGAAUUUUCAUUGAGAUUAAAUGCAAAGAAAGGAAAUGGGUUGUUGGUAGGUGGAUUUAGCUUAGACUAUGCUUAUAUAAGAAUUUUAUCAUACAUAAAUUUUUUUUAUACUAUAUAUGCCUGUACAAUUGAAUUAAAAAGAAUCCAUUUUCAUUACAUAACCUCAAACAAAAAAAAAAAAAAAAAGAAAAAAAAAAAGAAAAAAGAAAAAUGGAGAAAAAUAUGAAAGAAAAUGGAAAAUGCAAGUGGAAAAUGAAGGUUCCCAAGUAGACUUAGUUUGAACAACUCUUUUCAGCCAUGUGAUCCCACCUAUCCUCUUUAAUCAUGUGGACCCCAUUUUAAACAUCAAUUUUUAAUGAUGUGAACCCUCAUUUCAAUUUUUCCUUCUAUAUGUGUAGACAAUUUUAAUUUGAAACUUGCCUUAAAUUCAGAGUGAAAAAUCUAACAUCCUAAUAGUAAAUUAGGUGGUCCGAGGGCCCAAAUUAAAUGAGAUGCUUCUUCUGGAAAUGCAUCCAUUUAUUGAGAUAGUGAAACCCUCUUAUCUUUUCCUUUUUAAAACUAGGAAGAUAAUGACUUUUUAAAAUUUAUAUUUCCAUGAUAUAGUCAAACUUCCUAUACCCUAAUGACUUUUUCUAGUAAAAGCUUUCAUGACCAUUUCAAUGGAGUUUUUUUUUUUUUUUUUUACAAAGAAUCCAAAUAUUGGUGAAUGACCAACUUAGGAGGUGAUUUAAUGACUCAUUCUAUCGACAAACCCAAACUUGUUUUUUUAUUUACAAAUUUAUGUAAAAAUUCUUGACAUAUUAAUUUAAUAAGUUAUAAAAUAAAAUAAAAAAACGUACUAUUAAAUGCUUUGGAACUAAGCAACUUAACAAGAUGAUAUGAUAUUCCAUCAUUAAUUUAAAUUCAAUUUCAAGUGCUAAGAAAAAUUCUAUAUAAAAUUUUUUAACAUAAUAUUAAAAUAAAUUCUAGAAUAUGGUAAAAGUGUAACUUAUAAAUCAUACAUCGGAAAAUAUUUAAUAAAAUAUGGGCUAAAAUAAUAUAAAAUACUUAAUUAGACGGAAAAAUGUUAAUGAUGUCAUUCCUAUCUCUCUGCCGUGUCUCCUGAUGGUUUCCUUUUUCUUUUUGACUUUUUUUUUUCCUCGGCCACACGUACCCUCUUGAAGUUACAAUUCCCUGGAUCGACCAUUCAAGCUACCCGUCUUCCAACCAUUCUUCCUCCAAAUUGCAAAUGGCUUCUUCUUCAACCAGUCUCUCAGUAGCUUCUUCCUCUUCCACCCAUCCAUGGAAGUAUGAAGUCUUCCUUAGUUUCAGAGGAGAAGACACCCGCAAAAGCUUUACUGAUCAUCUUCACUCGGCGCUUUGUCAAUAUGGAAUCAACACUUUCAUAGAUGAUCAAUUCAGGAGAGGCGAACAAAUAUCUUCAGCACUCCUACGGGCAAUUGAAGAAUCAAGGUUUUCCAUCAUCGUUUUCUCUGAACACUAUGCUUCUUCAAGUUGGUGUUUGGAUGAACUUACAAAGAUUCUUGAGUGUGUCAAAGUGGGGGGACAUACAGCUUUUCCGGUUUUCUAUAAUGUAGAUCCCUCUCAUGUAAGAAAACAAACAGGGAGUUAUGGAGUAGCAUUUACAAAGCAUGAACAAGUUUACAGGGACAACAUGGAGAAAGUGCUCAAGUGGAGAGAAGCUCUAACUGUGGCAUCCGGACUUUCUGGAUGGGAUUCGCGAGAUAGGUAAUUCUUCUAACUGGAUUUCUUUGUUUUCUAUUUGGGUGUUGCUCUUUUUUUUUUCUUCUUUUUCUUUUUCUAAGUUGGAUCUACUUAAAUUUCUUUCUGGGAAUUGAAGUAUGUAUUAAUUCAACCUUUCCUGUUGGUUUAUCAAAGAGAAAAAUGAUAAAGCGAGGACGAGGUUUGGUGCUCCUUGAUCUCAAAAAUGACAAGAAGCAUAGGGUUGUUUUUCUCGUGACUAAUGCUUGAACACUUCUUCAAACCCUAUUGGAUCAGUGCUUUUUCAAUCUUUCCGAAGACCUACUGGGAUACCCGACCCUGCCCAUUAAUUAAUUGGAUCACCAUAUAUGUUUUUGCAGCUUUGAAAAUCAAUACUUGUGCCCUCAAAAUGCAUCCAAUAGCUUUUCUAGUGUUCCUAACCUCAUUUCUAGGACAUUCUUUACGCAGACUGCUUAAUUGGGAGAGUAUUAGACUGAAUAAUAAUAUCUUUGGAUUAUAUAAUUUCACAAUACAUUAUUCCUAGCUUCACGUCUCACAGCAUGAUAAUGGGAUUAAGAGUUUGAUCAAUUUUAGCUUCAUCUCGUUGAGUUAUAUAUAUUUUGUCUACCUUUGGUUUUUUUUUUUUUUUUCAGUCGCAACAAAGAAGAAAUCUAAGCACUGCUAUAUUUAUCUGUUUUUCUUUGUCCCUUUAUGACUUUAAAAAGAUGACCAUAUGAUUGUUCUCAAUUUGAAUUUCGCAGACAUGAAUCCAAGGUUAUUAAGGAAAUUAUUUCCAAGAUCUGGAAUGAACUGAAUGAUGCAUCCUCAUGCAACAUGGACGCUCUAGUUGGAAUGGAUUCUCAUAUACAAAACAUGGUUUCAUUAUUAUGUAUUGGGUCAGAUGAUGUUCAGAUGGUAGGAAUUUGGGGCAUGGCUGGUAUAGGUAAGUCAACCAUUGCUAAGGUUGUUUAUCAGAAAAUUCGCACUCAAUUUGAAGGUUAUUGCUUUCUUUCAAAUGUUAGAGAAAAAUCACUAAAAAAUGAUCCAGCUGAUAUGCAAAUGGAACUCCUUUCACAAAUUUUUUGGGAAGGAAAUCUAAAUACAAGAAUUUUCAAUAGAGGAAUCAAUGCUAUAAAAAACACGCUCCACUCCAUGAAGGUCCUUGUUGUUCUUGACGAUGUGGAUUGCCCACAACAAUUGGAGGUUUUAGCUGGAAAUCAUAACUGGUUUGGUCUAGGAAGUCAAAUUAUCAUCACAACCAGAGAAAAGAAUUUGCUAGAUGAGAAAACGGAAAUAUAUGAAGUUAAGGAAUUAAACAACAGUGAAGCUCAUAUGCUCUUUUGUCAACAUGCCUUUAAAUAUAAGCCUCCUACAGAAGAUUUUGUACAGCUAUGUGACUGUGCCCUAAAUUAUACAAAGGGCAUUCCCUUAGCCCUUAAAAUCUUGGGUUGUUCUCUAUACAAUAGAAGCAAAAAGGAAUGGGAGAGUGAAUUGGAAAAACUCAAAAGAAUUCCAAAUAAAGCUAUUCAAGAUGUGCUGAGAAUAAGUUUUGAUGGAUUAGAUAAUAAUCAAAAGGAUAUAUUUCUUGACAUCGCAUGCUUCUUUAAAGGACAAGACAAAGAUUACACCACAAAAAUACAGAAAAGUUGUGAUUUCUUUCCAGAAAUUGGAAUACGUAAUCUUAUAGAUAAGUCUCUCGUAACCAUUUCAUAUAAUAAGUUGUGCAUGCAUGAUUUGAUACAAGAAAUGGGAUGGGAAAUUGUUCGGCAAGAAUCUAUUAAAGACCCCGGAAAACGCAGCAGGUUGUGGGUUACUGAGGAUGUCAUUCAUAUGCUAACAACAAAUAUAGUAAGACCUAAAUGCAUAACUUUUUAUUUUUUAUUAUUAUUAUUUUUUUUUAAUUUUUACUUUGAGCUCAUAGUCUGCUCUUGGUUCAUUGUUAGGGGACUGAAGCAGUUGAAGGCAUAGUCCUUGACUUGUCGGCUUUAAAAGAGCUACACUUCAGUGUUGAUGUCUUUACAAAGAUGAACAGAUUAAGAGUGCUCAGAUUCUGUAAUGCACAAAUAUGUGAAAUCUGGGAUUAUGCUUGGAAACGGGGAAACUAUGAUUCGUGUAAAAAUCAGUACCCUAAAUGUAAAUUGCAUCUAUAUGGGGAUUUUAAAUUUCUAUCCAACAACUUAAAAUCUCUCCAUUGGGAUGGAUACCCUUCGAAGUCUCUUCCAUCAACUUUUCAUCCUGAGAAGCUUGUUGAAUUAAAAAUGAGCUUUAGUCGGCUUGAACAACUAUGGGAAGGAAACAAGGUAUAAUUUAUAUUUUUUGUUUUUCUUUAAAUGGAUUAUAAAGUUCAUCAAAGUUGAUUUGUUCUAGCCCUUUUUUUCCUCUUUUUCUUUGACAGUCAUUCCAGAAGUUGAAGUUCAUCAAACUUAGCCACUCUCAACAUCUAAUCAAAACUCCGGACUUCUCUGGAGCUCCAAACCUCAGGAGAAUUAUUCUUGUAGGCUGUACAAGCUUGGUCAAGGUUCACCCAUCCAUUGGAGCUCUCAAGAAGCUUAUUUUCCUGGAUUUAGAAGGCUGCAAGAACCUCAAGAGUUUCUCGAGUAGCAUCCAUAUGGAAUCUCUUCAAAUUCUUAAUCUCGCUGGCUGCUCAAAACUGAAGAAAUUUCCAGAGGUCCAGGGAGCCAUGUAUAAUUUACCAGAGCUUUCUUUAAAAGGAACUGCUAUAAAAGGAUUGCCUUUGUCCAUUGAAUAUCUCAAUGGACUUGCUUUAUUAAAUCUGGGAGAGUGCAAAAGCCUUGAGUCAUUACCGAGCUGCAUUUUUAAGUUGAAGUCCCUGAAAACUCUUAUUCUUUCAAACUGCUUAAGACUGAAGAAGCUUCCAGAGAUACGGGAAAAUAUGGAGAGUUUGAAAGAGCUUUUUCUAGAUGACACUGGUCUAAGAGAGCUACCUUCAUCAAUUGAGCAUCUAAAUGAGCUUGUUUUGUUGCAGAUGAAAAAUUGUAAAAAACUUGCAAGUCUUCCAGAAAGCAUUUUUAAGUUGAAGUCCCUGAAAACUCUUACUAUUUCAAACUGCUUAAGACUGAAGAAGCUUCCAGAGAUACGGGAAAAUAUGGAGAGUUUGAAAGAGCUUUUUCUAGAUGACACUGGUCUAAGAGAGCUACCUUCAUCAAUCGAGCAUCUAAAUGGGCUUGUUUUGUUGAAGCUGAAAAAUUGUAAAAAACUUGCAAGUCUUCCAGAAAGCAUUUGUAAGCUGACGUCUCUUCAGACUCUUACUCUAUCUGGUUGUUCAGAACUGAAGAAAUUGCCAGAUGACAUGGGGAGCCUACAAUGUUUAGUAAAGCUCGAAUCAAAUGGAAGUGGUAUACAGGAGGUACCCACCUCUAUUACUCUUUUGACAAACCUUCAAGUAUUAUCAUUAACAGGAUGUAAGGGAGGGGAAUCUAAGUCAAGGAAUCUGGCUUUAUCUUUGCGCUCAUCACCAACAGAAGGAUUCCGGCUGUCUUCUUUGACGGCUUUAUACUCCUUGAAAGAGUUGAAUUUAAGUGACUGCAACCUACUGGAAGGAGCACUACCCAGUGAUCUUAGUUCCUUAUCUUGGUUGGAGCGUUUAGAUCUGAGUAUAAACAGUUUCAUCACCGUGCCUAGCCUCAGUCGACUUCCUCAACUCGAAAGGCUCAUACUGGAACACUGCAAGAGUCUUCAAUCAUUGCCAGAGCUUCCAUCAAGUAUUAUAGAAUUAUUGGCCAACGAUUGCACAUCCCUGGAAAACAUUUCAUAUCUAUCAAGUGGAUUUGUAUUGAGGAAGUUCUGUGAUUUCAACUUCGAAUUUUGUAAUUGCUUCCGACUAAUGGAGAAUGAGCAGAGUGACACUUUGGAAGCUAUCCUACUCGCAAUUCGGCGUUUUGCAUCAGUAACGAAAUUUAUGGAUCCAAUGGAUUAUUCUUCGCUUCGCACAGUAUGUUAUUAUUUGUUUGCGUAUGCUAAGAAUUCUUAGAACAUAAUUUAAUGUCGUGUUAAAUAAUUGAGACAAUCCCACAAAUAAUCUUGGAAUACUAAUCCUAGAAUAUUAUUUCUCUACAUGCAUGCCGCUAACUUUUUCAUGAUUCAGUUUGCUUCAAGGAUUCCGUAUGAUGCUGUUGUUCCUGGGAGUAGCAUUCCAGAGUGGUUCACCGAUCAGAGCGUGGGGUGUUCAGUAACUGUAGAGCUGCCUCCGCAUUGGUAUACUACCAGGUUGAUAGGAUUGGCUGUUUGUGCUGUUUUCCACCCAAACAUCAGCAAGGGUAAGUUCGGCCGUUCUGCAUACUUUAGUAUGAAUGAAUCUGUCGGCUUCUCUAUCGACAACACGGCUUCCAUGCAUUUUUCAAAAGCUGAGCACAUCUGGUUUGGGUAUCGAUCCCUUUUUGGAGUGGUUUUCAGCCGGAGCAUCGAUCACCUGGAGGUUUCAUUUUCUGAAUCCAUUCGUGCCGGCGAAGUGGUGAAAAAGUGUGGGGUUCGUCUGAUCUUUGAGCAAGAUCUUCCAUUUGGCCGGGAGGAGAUGAACCAUGUGAGCUUGAGGAAAUCUGGUCCAAAUUUUUUCAUUCCUUAAUUUAUUAAAAUAAACAUAUUAAAGCAAUAAUUUUUGUAAUUGCUGAAAUGUUAUGCUACAUAUUUUUAACCAUUAAAUAUCUUGGUAAAGUUGUUUUAAGUGAAUACGUACCUUUUUCAUAAUCAAUGAUUCUAAUGAAUAAAAACUUAUUAAUUUAUUUUAUAAACUACUCUUAAAUGUUAUAUUUUAAUUAUUUUUAGUUAAAUACAUACAAAUUCUAAUAAAAACAUGUUUUUUCAUUUUUUUUAAAAUGUAGAAAAAAUAAUACUUUCUUUUGAUUUACUUUAUUGAAGAGUCCACCAAAAGUCUUUAGUGAAACAUAAAAAGAAUUCAUUUUAAGUUGAAUCAUUUCAUUCAAUUUAAUGAAAAAUACGUUAAUUUCUUCAGAUAUCUCAACAUGAAGAAAGUGAAGGAAGUUAUUAUAGGUGGAGACUCAGAUAUCCGAGGUAAUCACUUGCUUUUAAUAUGUUUUUAGGUCUUUUUACUACUCCAUUAGAUUAAGAUAUGAACAAAAUUUUGAUUUCCUCUUUCAUUUAAACUGUUUUGAACUAUUUCUUUUUCUUCUUUAGUGUGAACAUUGUCCAUGAUCAUUUCUUGAAGUAUAUUCAAGAUUUGAUGCUCACCUACUCCAUCUAUGUUCUAUUCAUAGAUGUCAUCACCAUCAUACUUUGAUUAGAUGAUUUGAUUCCUUUCUUCAUAUUAAAGAUCAGGAGGUGUUGGUCUAGGGUAAUAAUUUCUAGUUUUGUUUUGUUGUUUGAAUUGAUGGUUUAUUCUAUUUAUUUGAGGGUCUUGAUCCUUAAAUAUGGAUUUCAACCUAUCAAUAUUUAAAUUUGAAGUUUCUGUUAUAACAUUUACAACUUUUGUAUUUGUAGAGGAAGGUUUGAAGGAGAGGUCUAGUUGUUCUAACCGAUUUGUUAAUCUAUUGAUUAAUUCAUUGUUCGAUUUUGAAAAUUUGAUUGGUUCACUUCCUACUUCCGCAAGUUUGAAAAUCAUACGAUUUUUGUCUAAUUUUUGUUUGGAAAUUGGGGAAGAGUGAUUAAAGGAUUAUUUGGAAGUUCUAAGUUGUUUUCUAUUCUAUCUAAUUGAGAAGAGAGAGUACCUAACAUUUGAUUAGUAAAUUUAUUUUUUUGUUGAAGGUUUUUACAGUAUUUUAAGGUUACUGUUCUUCCUUCAUUAUCCUUUAAUCCUAUUAUUUUGAAAGGUGAAGCGAUGAUUUCAAUAUUUCGAGUUUUUAUGGUUAUUUCCUCUAAAGGAGGAUGAUUCGAAAUAACAAUUUUGCAUGACGUAGUUUUCCAAGGUUGGUUAUCUAGAAAAUAUAUAAUAUUAGUGAAUUGAAUUUUUUAAUUUUCAUUUUUAAAACCAAAUUUUAAUUGACUCCAUUCUAAUUUAUUUAUAGUUUUCUUUAUUUCAAUAAUGAUUUUGAAUUCAAUAAAUAACAUAUCAUUUUAUUUCAUUUUGAUGAUCAUUGUGGACUAAUAUUUUUUCAAUUAUUUUAUGUGAUUAAAUUCAUAUUUGUAUUAAUUGAACAUAUUUUGUGUGCUAAGUUGUGCCUUUUUGUCUUAACUAAAUAAAAAACUUGAAAGAAAUUAAAGAAUUAUCUAGAGGUUGACGAGAGUUUAGUUUUAAUAGAUAUAUUAUGCUAGAGUAACAGAGUUGGACACACAAGAACCAAUAAAAAAAACUAGAAAAAAAAUGAGAAAAUUAGGAAGAGAUGUAAUAAAAUGAAUAUAUAUAUAUAGGGAUUAAAAUGGAUUAAAAUAUUAUUUUGUAUAUUAAAAGAUUAAAAUAUAUUUUAUUUUGUAUAGGGAGACUAUUUACCAUUUUUUUUAGUAUAAUAACCAAAAUAGUCGUGUGAGUGCUGUUAGACGCAGUUGGUCUGUUGAUUUAAAGCCCCGCACGAGUAGUCGCCAAACAUGGUGGUUUAGCUACGCCCAAAAUUCUACCGCGUGCAAAGAAUUGGAUGGAGGCAAAAGUUAGUGGGAAAGUUGGCAUUAAGGUAUGUAGUGGCAGUCUAUAAAUAAUAUUAUGGACACGGUGGUAUUUUUUAGAAACGAGUAGGGCCCAACCGCCACUACAAGGAAAAAGGUAUAUGGUGACAUUUAUAACGAGUCACCAUAAACAUAGGGUGUCACUACAACAUAAUGUCACCUUCUCCACUGACACCAUAGAGGGUACCAAUUGGUGACGUACUUGGAAGUGACACCAAAGUAGAUAAAUGGUGACCCAUUCGGAAGUGACACCAUAUAUUUCUAGUGAUGAUAGGGUGUCACAUUAAAUACAUCAUCUUUGAGUUAUGAUGUCACAUUAAAUGCAUCACCUUUGAGUUAUGGUAUCACAUCAUUGUAAAUUAUUGUGGAAGAUAUGAUUGGUUUUAGUUGUUGAUUUUUGUAAUGCUUAUGAAUUAAUAAGAUUAAUCUGUUUAUAUUUUGUCCAUAAAUAUAACAAUCAUAUUAUAUUUAACUCAUUUUUCUGUAAUGUUUCUGGAAUAACUCAUAAUACAUUAAUCAUCUAAUGAUAUUUGUAUAUCAAAUGUUCACAAAAGGAUAGUACGUCCAACAUAUCAAACCCAUUAAAACUAAAAAAGAAGGGUGAAUACAUACCAAAACAUGAUUCAGAAAUGUUAAAGAUCCCAAGAUUCAUGUAUACCUCCAUUUCAUAAGCAUAAAACCGGCUAACCAUAAAAUGACAUAAAAGUCCCAUCUAAAAAUCUAAACUUCUCAGUUGCAAUUAAAGUAACGUUUAUGUCCUAUAACGUAUGACAUAAGAGUUGCAUUUAAAAACCCAAAAUCUUGUUGCCUUCUUCUUCUUUUUUAUUCUCCAUUUCACCCUCCCAAGAGUGUAUACCUGCAUUUCAAAAUUUAAUGAGUUUUAGAGAUUUUUAUUGAAGAAAAUAAACAUGGAUCGAUGUUAUCAUAAAUGAACAAAUCUAAGAACUAUUUUUUUUUUUCAAAUAGAAACAUUAUCCAAAGAAUAAGCAUUACUAUACAAUACCUAUGGAAAAAUUCAUGUAGUAGCUAAGGGACUCACCAUGCAUGGUGAUCAUGAUGCAUCAACAUGAUUCAUGAUUAGUUGUAGCACAAAAGUAGCCCAUUCUCCUCUAAUUUCAUCGAAUUCUACUUGAGAAUAUGUUUUUUUUUAUCACCAAACUGAAAUCAAAUAAGAAAAUAACAUUAAAAUGCAUAACAUUUGAAGGCCUAAAACUAUGUACAAUUCAUUAAAUAAGUAAUACCUUUGAAGCAAUAAUUGUAGGAUAAAAAAAUUAUCUUUUUAGUGAAUCUCAUAACAAAGUAGUCACAUUCGAACCCUCCUUCUUCUCUUGGACACUAAUCGAUCAAUUAUAAAAUAACAUUAGUACUCACAUAUAUAAAUGGUGCAAAUGCAUAAGCUAAUGUGUAAAGAAAAUUUUUUGGAUGUCACCUGCACUAGUUGCUAAGAUGGCUCCCUCUUAGAUGUUUUCUUUGCAAAUAUUCGAAGAGCCCUAUGUAAAUAAGUUCAAUGGGUACAUUUUUAAAAUAGGUAAAUGUUAUAUGUUUUAAUAUAUAUAUAUAAAUAAUAAAAAAAAUGUGUUUGAGGUGAAUGUAUUUUUUUAUUUAAAAAUAAUACUAUGAAAAAUAAUAGGAAGAACUUACAUGUUUACGAUGUCAUUUAAGUCCUCACAUGGUUUGUGAUGCAUAGGGUCAAGAUAAUGGACUAUCAUUUUCCUUGGCUCAAGCACUACCUAAAUAUAAACCCUCUAAGUCCUCAUAUCUAUUUCUAUUAACAAAAUAUAAAAACUUUCCAAAACUCAACUACUUAAAUAUAAAAACAAAAUCAAAUAAAAUAUCUAGCUAAUUGGAUUUUAGAAACUAAAUAAACUAUAAAUAAACUAAAUAUAAAAACUAAAUAAAAUAUCUAUGCCCAUGAAUUAAUUGAAUAGGAUAGAAAGACAUAGAGAGAACAUGGUUAUGGUUAUGAUUUCCAUCUUAUCAUCUCCCGUCAAUACCACACAUGCCCAUUUUAAGGUUGGACACUACUUUUGUUGCUAGACUUGGAAAGGGAACUUCAAAAUUGAAAACAUAAAUAAACCCUUAUGUAAAAAAAAAUAACAUUAAAAUAUAAUUGAGCAUUAAAAUAUUUACUCUCUUUCAUCACUUUCAUUUGAAUAUUAAUAAUCUCUUAUUGAGAUAGAUACUUACAAUUUAACAAAAUAGAAUUUCCUAAUAAUAAAAAAUAUAAAAAUUUCUAUUUCUAUUAACAAAAUAUAAAAACUUUCCAAAACUCAACUACUUAAAUAUAAAAACAAAAUCAAAUAAAAUAUCUAGCUAAUUGGAUUUUAGAAACUAAAUAAACUAUAAAUAAAUUAAAUAUAAAAACUAAAUAAAAUAUCUAUGCCCAUGAAUUAAUUGAAGAGGAUAGAAAGACACAGAGAGAACAUGGCUAUGGUUAUGAUUUCCAUCUUAUCAUCUCCCGUCAAUACCACACAUGCCUUCCCGGAUUGGUCCUUUUGGGGUUGGAUACUCUCAACGAAAUUCUAUAUCUCAUUCCCACUUAGAUACAAACAGAAAAAUCAUUCUUUUUUUUUUCCUCUCUCGUUUUUUAGAAAGGAUGAAGAUUAUGUGAUAAUAAAUCUAAAAAAAAUUAUGUACCUGUCAUUCUCACACAAAUACAUAUUAAAAAUCAUUCAUUUUUUCCUGUUUUUCACUUUUUUUAAGGACUUGAUCAUGUGUUUGGUUUAGAUGAAAAAAUCAAUUAAUCUACAGUUUUUUCUUCUAUGCUAGAAGAUUAAACCUAAAUUUUUUUUCCCUACAACUCAAGAAAACACAAUCCACAAAAACCAUAAUACAAAGAUGUUGAAACAAUUAAUAUAAUGACAUUAAUAAAAGAAAAAAAAAAUGACAGAUCCAAGAGAUUUUGGGUUACUUGGGAGUCCACAAAGUGAAGAAUGUCCGUUGUGAGCGUGUUGACUAUGGAUGGGUGAGAAAAAAGGUUGAAGAAGAUCAUGAUUUUAUAUAUAGGAUUUAUAUAUUGAGAUUUUUUGGAUUGUGGGUGAGAUAUGGAAACAAUGGGAUUUUUAUAUAGUAUCCAUCAUUAUUAAUUCUAAAAGUGGGCUCAUUAAGUUAUAAUACCUAAAAAAAUUUAUUUUAUAUGAUGUCACUUCCCAAAAAAUGACACUAUAAAUAUAAAAUUAAUAUCAUCUAACUACCUCAAUUGAAGAUUUUUUAUAUGAUGUGUCACCUUUAUUAAUUAUAAACCCUAUGGUGUCAUUAUUUUAAAAGUGACACCGUAAAUAGUGACACCAUAAACUAUUUUUGUAGUAGUGCGCUCUCAUACAUAUCUCAUAAAUAAUUAUUAUGUUCAUCUUCUUACACCCUUCCUUUACUCCUAGCCUCAGAUUCUCUGCUUUCGCACCAAGUCCAUCUUCUCUCUCCCAUUUCACUCCCUUGAAGUCGAUUUCUCUAUCAUUUUUCACUGUGUGAAGAAGUGGUUUCUCUUUGUAAGAUGCAUUUUCUCUUGCCUUUUGAUUUCUCUAACAAUUUCAAGAACUAAUCUCACUCUGGAAACUUUCUAUGGGCAUAACUUCUCUCGGUGCAUGAAGAUUACUGAUGUUGGAGCGCUACACAAAUACUCCAGUCAUAAAUCUUCAUACUCUUAUUUCAUGGAAGCACCGAUAAGUCUGUCUUUUUAAGCACAAGAUCUCUAAUAACUAAAAGUUUGAUAGAUGUUGUUCGAUUGCUCUAUGUUCAGGGGCUUGCAAAUGCUUUUGUUUCUACUUGGAUCAGAAAUCACUGAUGCAUCUGUUGCUGCAAAUGCGUCAAGCUAUUCAAAUUGAGAAUUGCUUGGAUUUGAGCAGGUAUGCUUUAGUCCCUAGUCUUGAUUGUUGCUGAGGAUUUAUGAGACAAUCAAUUAUUCUUGAAAGCUACUUGCUUGGGUAACUUGCUAAGGUUCUGUUAGUCUUCAGAUUAAGGCAGUGUGAAUGCUUCUCACCUAAUUAUGUUAUCACCCUUCUUGAUUCUAGAUGAUUUGCAGCUACCUCAACAUUUUAUUCAUUGAGUGAGGUAGUUGGCAAAGCUCUUUUUAAGAGAAAAAGAUUAUUCAUACUCUGGUAACAUCUAUUAAAACAGAAAAAGGUCUGUGAGGGUAGGUUUUCUAAUGGAAACAUUUGUAAGCUGACGACUCUUCACUCUUAUACUCUCUCUAGUUGCUCAGAACUGAAGAAAUGGCCAGAUGACAUGGGGAGCCCACAAUGAUUAGUAAAGGUCGAAGCAAAUGGAAGUGGUAUACAAGAGGUACCCACCUCUAUUACUCUUUUGACAAAGUUUCAAGUAUCAGCAUUAGCAGGAUGCAAGGCAGGGGAAUCCGUGUCAAGGAAUCUGGUUUUAUCUUUGCGCUCAUCACCAACAGAGGGAUUGGGUCUAUGCUACUUGAAAAUGCUGAAUUUAAGUGACUGCAACCUAUUGGAAGGAGCCUACCCAGUGAUCUUGGCUCCUUGUCUUCAUUGGAACGAUUAGAUCUGAGCAGAAACGGUUUCAUUACCGUGCCUGGUAGCCUCAAAAGGCUCAUAGUGGAACAACACUGCAAGAGUCUUCAAUCAUUGCCAGAGCCUCCAUCAAGUAUUCAAGAUUUAUGGGCCACACAUCCCUGGAAACCUUUUCAUAUCCAUCAAGUGCAUAUGCAUUGAACGAGCAGAGCGACACUGUGGAAGCUAUUCUACGGGGAAUUCGGCUUGUUGCAUCAAUACAGAAAUCCAGAGCUCCAAAUGAGCAUUCUGCCUUUCCCUGGAUGUUCUAUUAUUAAAUGUUCGCGUGUGCUAAGAAUUCUUAAAACAUAUUUUAAUAUGGUGUUAAAUAAUUGACGCAAUCCCACAAAAUAAUCUUGGAAUACUAAUCCUAGAAUAUUAUUUCUCGACAUGCCUCCAACCUUUUCAUGAUUCCUGGUAACCCUGGUCUAUCUACUUAGUAUAACAUUGUUGCUUAUGGAAGUACCAUUCCAGAGUGGUUCAUCCAUCAGGGGGUGGGGUGUUCAGUGACUGUAGAGCUGCCCCCACAUUGGUAUAAUACCAAGUUGAUGGGAUUGGCUGUUUGAGCUAUUUUCAACGCAAACAUUACCAUGGGUGAGUUGGCCGAGUUUUUAUGUUUUAGUGUGAAUGAAUCUGGCAGCUUCUAUAUCGACGACGGGGCUUCCAUGCAUUUUUCAAAAGCUGCCCACAUCUGGUUUGGUUAUCGACCGCUUGCUGACCUCUUUUGGGGUUCUGGUGGUCCGUUUAGAAACCAGAGCAACACUUUGAAGGUUUCAUUUUCUCUUGAGAAAGUGGGGUUCGUGUAGUAUCUGAGCAAGACGAUAAAUAUGGGGAAUGGAUCUUUCCUUUUGGCACCCUGUGGCCGGGAGAAGGAGAUGAACCAUCUUUUUCAAUAGGCCUCGAUAUCCUGUACUCCCCAUAUAAGCUUCAGGAAAUCUGGUCCUGAUUUUUUCAUUCCUCAAUUUGUUAAAAUAAAUAUACUAUAAUAUUAAAGCAAUAUUUUUUCUAAUAGCUCAUAUGUAAUGAUACUUAUUUUUAACCAUUGAAUAUCAUGGUAAAGUUGUUUUAAGUGAAUACCUUCUUCUAUAAUCAAUGAUUCUAAUGAAUAUAUAAAAACUUAUUAUUUAAUUUUAUAAACUACUCUUAAAUGUUAUGUUUUAAUUAUCUUUAGUUAAAUAUGUACAAAUUCUAAUAGAAACAUGUUUUUUUUUUUUAAUGUAGAAAAGAUAACAAUUUUUUUUGUUUACUUUAUUGAAGAGUCAACCAAAAGUUUUUAGUGAGCAAAAAAAAAAAAAAAAAAUCAAUUCAAGUUCGAUCAUUUCAUUCAAUUUAGUGAAAAGUACUUUAAUUUCUCCGGAUUCGAAUUAAAAGUUCAAAUAGAGUUGAUUGUAAGAUCAGUAAGCACAUGAGAUCGAAUUGUUGAAUAGUUUCACAUUGUAAUUAAAUAUUUGGUAUUGCUAGUCUUCCAAUGUUAACACUUCUAUAAAAUUAGAUUUUGAUUAUAAAGGUCAUAUUUAAUAGUAGAGAUAAGGAUGGUUUCACAAAAGUUUUCUCAUACCUCAUGGUUGAUUUACCGGUAGAAGUACGUGUUUCAAGUUAAAAGCUUUAUUUAUAACUUUUUAUUCCUUUUUUCUUUCAUAAAUCUAUAUCUUUUUUUGGAUGAAUAGUGUUUUUAUGGUAGAUUUUAUUUUUUAAAAUUCAAUUGGAGUGUCUUCUAAGAACUGUAAAUAGUAAAAUAUGAGAUUUUUCAUUUAUAAAUCCAAAUGCGAAAUAAAUGGAGGAUUGUUAUAUAUAAUAUGGAAUGUGUUUAAUUUAUUCAACAUUGAUAAUUAAAUUGGUUUCAACUUUUAGGAAAUUUUAUUAUGAGAUAAAUAAAUAAUAUUUAGAAGUAUUUACAUUAAUGCUAUGAUAUAUUUUUUAGAUAAUAAAUUCAUAUUAGCAUUGGUUUUAACUACUUUUGGUGGGUUAUAAACUUGUACAAAGUUGUGCAUGUUGAUGGUUGAUGUAUAUGGUGCAAAUUAUGUGUUUAUAUAUUUUAUGUUAAGAGCUCAUGUUGAAUGAAAGGAGCAAGAGUACCCUAAGAAAACUCCAAAUGAUGAUUAUAGUAUUGACUAAACCCACGUAAUAGUGACAUUCACUCCAAGCAUAGGGUGGUUGGUUGGUUGCAAGUAAUAAUUUAACCCAAUAAGUCAUGUGUCAAAUUAUAGGGACUAACUUCAAGGAUUGGAGAAUGUGUAAUAGAAGUUUGGGUACAAUGUGUAUAAUAAUAUGAUUCAAGCUUCAAAAUUCUAAUAUAGAGAUAUGAUAUGUAUAAUGUCAAUGCACCUUUAAAAUUAUAUGUAUAAUAAAUUUUGGGAAUCUCACAAGGACUCUUAUGAUUUGCUAGUUUUUCUGGAACGUGUAAAGAAUGUCAUUGGGCAGCUAACCUUAAUUUGUAAACCAGUUUGGUUAUUUACAUUAUACUAUGAUUUUUUGACUUAAAAAACUAUACAAGGCGAGGAGGUUCAUGCUCACAAAGAGGCCCCAUGUAUGGGACACUAGCAUUAUUCUUUUUAAACAUAAUAUUUUUUACAUUUCCAAUUAAUUAUUAACAUAUCGAGAGCCUACAUGUACUUUUUAAAGAUAAUAUGGUUUUGAUUCCAUUACUUAAGCAAGCGUACUUAUGUAGGUAAAAUUUGACUUAAAUUCAUGGAAUAUUUAUAACUUCGUAUUUUGACUCAUUAAUAUCUUCCUUUUUUUCUUCUUUCCUUUUCUUUUGAAGCCUUAAGCAUAUACUUAAGACAUUCUAAAAGAAGAACUCACAAGAGAACAAGAUCCCAUUGUCUAUAAGUGCAUAUCUUUAUGUCCCAUUGCUAAAUCAUCAUAAGGAACCACUAAUGUUGCUAGAACAAUUACUACGUGAGAUUUUAUUUUAUUUUUUAAAAAACAUUUAUUAUUAUUUAAAUGGUAUGCAUUGCACCUACAACUGAGUUAACCCAUAAUUUUUUCAAUUUGAUUUAUUAAGCUUUUUCAUUGAUAUACUCAAUGCUAAAACAUGCAAUUUUUCUCAAAAUCAAUAAUAUUUAUUUUCAAGUCUUAUUUGAAAGUUUAUUUCUUUUUUGAACAAUUAAUAUGCAAUCAUCCAAUAUUAAUAUAUUGAGUGAAACAAGUUUAUUUAAAAGUUGGUUUUAGCAAUUGAUUCAUUUCUAGAAAUAUCAAAAGGUUGCCUUCUUACUUUUGUUUUGCUCAUACCGAGGAAGAAACAAAUUCAAAAACAAACUCAUUUUAAGAACUUAAAACAUAAUAUUAUAUAAAAGAAAAUGCAACCUUAGGAAUAAACCAACAUGAAGCCAUGAGGUAUAGGCUAAGUUUGGUCUUGGCUUGGAUUGGUUACCACAUGCAUGGAUGGUAGCUAAAUAGCUAUACAAAUCUAAUAUUCCAAUAGUAAGAUAGUCCUAGUGUCCAAAUUAAAAGAGGUGUUUCUCCUUGAAAAUACAUCCAUUUAUUAAGGCAUUUAAGUCUUCAUUUUUUUUUAACUAUGAAGAUAAUGAAAUUUGGAUAGUAAGUCACAAUUGAAAGUUGGGAGAAACUUCCUUAGUAGAAAGUCCGUCAAACAUGGACACUUGCAUGAGAAGCCCUUUAUAUUCUUUCCUUCUUCUAGCUAGGUUAGCUAACAUCUAGAAAUAAAUAUUUAAAUUUAUAUUUCCAUUAGAUAAUGCUUCCAAUACUUUUCUAGCAAAAGCUUCACUAUCCAUCUCUAUGGUGCUUUAGUUUGAAUAACCAUCCAAACAUUUGUGAAUAACCAACUUUAGAGAAGAUGAAAUGAUCCAUUCUACGGACACUUAAUUGAAAGUAUUUACAUAUUAAUUUAUUUAGUUAUAAAAAUUAAGAAACUUACUAUUAAAUUCUUUGGAGCUAAACAACUUAAGAAAAUGCUAUGAUAUUCCCAUCAUUAAUUAAAAUUUAGACAAAUGUGCAAAGAAAACUACCAUAUAAAAUUUUUAACAUGAUGUUAAAAUAAAUUCUAGGAUAUGGUGGAAGCCAAAUUUAUAAAUCCUACACUAGCAAACAUUUAAUGAAUUAUUUACUAAAGUAACAUAAAAUAUUAAAUUAGAUAAAAAUAUUAAAAAUUUGAAUAAAGUAAUUGAUUUCACAGGAAGAAACAAUCAUGAGUUAUUCAGCCAAAUUAUUUUUCAUUAAUGAAAAACAAAUCAAGAUUUCAUUUUUUUACUAUAGGGAUUUAAUUUGUUACACCAUAUUUGUUGAAUUAGGUUGAAAAAAUAUCAUAAAAUAAAAAGAAAAAAGGAGUGAGAAAUAUUUUCAAUGUUGAUACCUUAUUGUUCACCAAUCUUAUAAUAUUUUGAAUGUAUAAUUUCUAAAAACUAACAUGAAAAUGAAAGAUUUAAAAAGUAAUAGUAAUUGGGAUGUUUUUGUGUAAAAAUGCUACCCUAAAUAUAUAAAUACCUUUUUUCUCAUUCCUCUCUCUCUCUCUCUCUCCCCUAGUUUCCUUUUUCUUUUUGACUUUUCAAUCUUGCUUUUAUCUUUUUUCUUUGUGGUGUGAGAAAAGACAAGAAAAUUUUAGUAUUUAUUUAUUUAUUUAUUUAUUUUUGUUUCAAAGUAGUUUUCAUAUGGAGUCAUAUAUAUCCCUCUUUUAUUUGACCUUCAUCUAAACCAAAAUUGGUAAAACAAACACCAAAAUUUUUCUUAAUUAAAAUACAUCAAAAUACUUGGAACAUUAAAUUCAACCAUAAUUUUUUUCUUGACAGAUAAACCAUUGCAUCUUAUUCAACAUCAUCAUUAUUUGCAUUACUCAUCCUCGAACUUAAGAGUGACAUUAUUGAGUUAUUGUACCCCAACAAUUUCUUUCAUAAGAACUUAAACUUGUUAUCCUUAUUUUUUAAUCGAAUUCUUAAAUCUAAUUUUGACCAUCUCAUUUAAAAAUCAAUCCUUGUAUAGCGUGGGUUAGUUAAGCCUUUUAAAAAAGGAGACAACUUAGCAUAUAACUAAGAGUUAAAAUCUAAUUUGUUAUGCAAGAUGGAUAGAUUAGAAUGAGAUGGUCAAGAAUGAAACUUCCUAUGAAAUUCGAUGUUACCAUUCUUUUGAUGAUUACACAUCACAAUACGUAGAAGUAGUAUUAUUGCACUCAAUGGUAUGUAGGCAUCACCUGCUUGGAUGUAAGCCAUAUAUUUACUUUUUUAACUCUAUUAUAGCUUUUCCUUAUAAAUUGUAAAUUUUAAAUAAAUUUCUCUUGCAAUUCAUUGUUAGAAAAUUGUCCUUAUAAAUAGUACAUUUAGAAUUUUAAUUAAAUAUGUCAAAAUAACAUAAAAUAUUAAAUUUUUUAUUUUUUUAGUAAUAAAAUUAAUUUUAUACUGGAAAAUUAAAUUUGAAAAAUAUUUUUAUUAAAACAUCUAAUUUCACUAUUUAAAAAAAAUAAAAUAAAUGUUAGCAUGUUUGAGUGCAUUAUGUUUCAAGGAAAUGGAAUUAAGGAAGAAGUUGAAAAAGGGAUAUAUUCAAAUUAAAGCCCAAAAAAGGGAAAAUGGGAGGAAAAAGUGAGAGAGAAAAGGAGGGACAAGUGGGAAAUAGGGUAGAGCCACUUUCAAUAACACUUUUUGGAUUGUGUAAACUUCCACUUUGUGGACCACCUUGGAUGAUAAUUUUUAGCCGUGUGGACCUAGUUUCAACAACAUUCUUUCAAUCUUGUGAACUCCAUUUUUUGGACCCACCUUAGACAACUUUUUUCAGUCAUGUGGACUCCAAUUUCAAGUUUCAAUAACACUUUUUCAGUCAUAUGGCUCAUUGACACGCAUCAACUCCACACUUAUCUCAUAAGUGUACUUGGUUUUUGGAAAUGUUUUUGCUAGUGAUAGUUCAAUUUGAACCAAAUCAGUAUAAUGUAUAAUUUAAUAUGGUUAAUACAAGCAUAAUUCAAUCUUAUUUUUCUAAAUUUAAAUUAAGCUCGAGUUAAUCAAUUUAGCAUUAGAAGACUAGGUUAAUAAGUGAAUUAAAUUUGAGUAGAAUAAAAUCAUGUAUGAUAUAAUAAAUAAAUAAAUUUCUUUAAUGAAUUCAAAGAUAGUAUAAAAUAAAUAUGGAUAUAAAUUAUAAAUAUUAUAAAAGUAUUAAAUCAAGUUUAUGUUAGGCUAGCUUAGAUCAUUCAAAUCUUGACUUAAAUUAAACUUGAAUUAAAUUCGGAGAGAAAAAUUUGAACUUAAGCCUAAUUCAUAUACUAAAAAUGAUUGGUUGAUCCUACUUUAAAAUUGGAUUGAAUUCAAUUUAGGUUAUACUAAUCCGUCCAAAUUGUAACCUUAUCACAUAUCAAUAUGGUGAAAAUAAUAAAAGAAAAAUUAUAGUGGUGCAAACACCUUUUUUCUUACCAGAAUUAAUUAUCACCAUAGCAUAAUGUAAUAUAAUUAUUUUUAUAGAAUUUAAAAUAUUUAUUUUAGAUUUUCAUUUCAGUUAAUAUCUAAACCCUAUUUUCUAAAAACUGUGAUAAAAACAAAAAUAAUGUUAUUCCACAACUUUUGCAACUCGCCUUUUAACUUCAUAUAUAAUUUUAUGUAACAAUUAUAUAUCUUCUUCAAAGUAUUGACACAUUAAUAUGAAAAAUUAGAAAAAAAAUAAUUUAUUUACAAUAAAUACUUUGGGGCUAAGCAACUAAGUAAGGCAAUCUAACAUCCUAUUGGUGAAUUUUCAUUGAGAUUAAAUGCUAAGAAAAGGAAAUGGAUUGUUGGUAGGUGGACCUAGCUUAGACUAUGCUUGUUAUAUAAGAGUUAUAUUAUACAUAGAAAUUUUUUUAUACUAUAUAUGCUUGUACAAUUGAAUUGAAAAGAAUCCAUUUUUCACUUACAUAACAUAACCUCAAAAAAAAAAAAAAAAAAAAAAAAAAAAAAAAAAAAAAAAAAAAAAAAAAAAAGAAAAAAGG
RNAcentral lists this long non-coding RNA (87417 nucleotides) under Vitis vinifera (wine grape). RNAcentral's name for it is "long non-coding RNA (VVIN_LNC003882)". Lineage: Eukaryota; Viridiplantae; Streptophyta; Magnoliopsida; Vitales; Vitaceae. The record is from RNAcentral.